GGGUCUUUUCGUAAAUUCAGCACCGCAUUAAGUUUUGCAAGCGCGACCCCUGUUGGGAUAAGAUGCUGACAGAUAUACCCCCCUUUACGCGAAAAAGUAGAGGGUGCGAAUUCGCACUUACCGAGGACAUUGUAAUAUCAAAUAAUCGACAAAGGGGUGCCUACGAAAUUAGCCUCCGACGACACUGACCGCCGUGCAGGGCGGAGAGAGAGAGACGGGGGAUUCGAGAAGAGAGGCCCAUCUUCUUUACUGGUUGGCUGAGCGUACCCAGAUAGAGAGAGAGUAGAGAGAGAGUAGAGAGAGAGAGAGAGUUGAGUAAAUGAAUCCUGACAUAAUCAUUGGAGGGGGCCAAAGGGGACGGGCUCACAAUAGGAUGCAGCAACAGACCAGAGGAGAGGUGGGGGGGCCAGGAUAGACGAUGGCAGCCAGCUCCAGACGAGCAGGCUGGCCCCUCCUCUCUCUCUCUCUCUCUCUCUUUCUCUCUCUCUCCACUUUCUCUGUCUACUUUCUCUCUCUAGGGCCCUCGCGCCACCAUUGACGAUGGGCCUGCAUGGCCCUCGUGAGGAUAAGGCGGAAUUAUUUACUCCCCCGUCACUGUUCCACCAACUCGACAAACCACGGAAUAGAAAAAAAAGCCUAGAGAGAGAGAGAGAGAGAGAGAGAGAGAAGANNNNNNNNNNNNNNNNNNNNNNNNNNNNNNNNNNNNNNNNNNNNNNNNNNNNNNNNNNNNNNNNNNNNNNNNNNNNNNNNNNNNNNNNNNNNNNNNNNNNCAGUGUCAGACUGGUAACUCUUCCGUUAAGGAAAUCAUCCAUAUCGUAAUACUCUGCUCUUUCUCUCACUGUUUCGGCUGAUUAUAAAUUCACUCUAUGCAGAGCAAGGGUAUCUUCUAUGAAGUGCCCUCCGGAAGAAGGGAUGGAAAAGUCUCUUUGAGCUCGGAGACGUUCGCGAACUUGCCUCCACCCUCCUUUAAUCUCGAUCAGCUUACUCAGAGUUUUGCUAGAAAGGGCCUGACACAGGAGGACUUGGUCACCCUCUCUGGUGCGUACAUAUGUGAUGCCAUCGAUCGUCUAGGCUGCUUCCAUUCAACUUAUAAGUAAACAAUAUAUCAACUACCUACCUAUCGUCACUAAGAGAUGAUAUCCCGUGGUGUUGUAACCAGGUGCACAUUCCAUUGGGAAAGCUGACUGUUCCUCGUUCAGCAACAGGCUCUACAACUUUAACUCAACCGUGCAGACGGACCCGAGCCUGGACCCAGCCUACGCAGCCCAGCUGAAGCAAAAGUGUCCCCCGGGCACCACGGGUUCGAGCGUGCCCAUGGACCCUCCCUCUCCCGAGGUCCUCGAUUCCAGCUACUACAAAGGCGUUAUCGAGAACCGUGGCCUGUUCACCUCUGAUCAGGCGCUCAUGUCCAGUCCGGUAACGGCGAGGCAAGUGAGGGCCAACCGGAACAACAAUUUUCUUUUCAACAAGAAUUUCGCGGCGGCAAUGGUGAAGAUGGGUAAGAUUGACGUCCUCACUGGGACCGCAGGCGAGAUCCGCUUGAACUGUAGGGUCGUCAACAAAUGAUUUUUAUGGGUCAUCAACGUUAUCGCUAUACCUGUCCUGUGUAUCUAAUGGUGUCUCGCUCCAUGGGCAAAGUAUAAAGCUCCUGGAGAAAACCUAUGUGCACGUACUUUGUUCUGUGGCGUUAUACUGAAGUACGCCAUCGUUUGUCAAUUAUUUGUCAAAUAGCAAUAUAUUUGUUGUAAAGGUACUCAUAAUCGGCGCAAAAAAGGAAAGAUUCAAUGUGUCCUCGUACACCAUUCUAGUCACACAUUUCCAAUGGUACUCUUAUAUUUCUUAGAUUUUGAGAGUCGGGAAUACAUACCUAUGACCUUCGGACGAUGGACAUAUAUUCUGGGUUGUGUAAGAAAUUCCGUGAAUUUAGGGUUGAGAUGUGUAGGAAACGGACUUUGCCCUCACAUUAAAACUUUUGUUGAAAUUUGUUUUUCUUGCAGACUAAGAAACUAGACCCUAUAUAAUUUUUAAUGAUCUGAAUAAUAAAUGGUGAACUUAAGGAGAGUUUUGCGGCAAGUCCCAUAUCUGUGGAUUGCUAUUUAGGGAUUAGGAUGCGUGAAUAAAAAUUCCAAAUGAUUAAUUGAAGCUUCCUUUCUUUCGUAAACGAAAUUAUGAUGUUGAUCCCAUUUUGAUAAGGACACACCUGGUUCUUUGUUUCACGUAAAGCAAGUUAAAGAGUGAAGAAAAAUACUGAACAGCGGGAUGGGGAAAAAGGGAGAGGGGGUGGGGCGGCAGCGCAGCCCUACCCGCUGCAUGGAAAAGGUCAUACGUCGUGACAUUCGGACGAAUAUAGACUCGGUAUGUAACUCUUGAUGGAGUAUAAGAAAACGUCGCCUCUCUGUCGAACAAGUCACUAUUCGCUGAACAACGUAGAUGUGUGAGUUCUGAAUCUGAUUUCCCUUUUGGUCUCGUUCGUUUGUUCGUUUGUUUCACGUCUGUGAGAUACGAUGCAACAGUUCCUUAGAAGAUGGGACCUCUGGUUCCCCGGCCAUCAGGAGUACCGUCUUGAGGGGACAAUAGGCCUAAUCCAAAGGCUUAAUAUGUCCAAGCAGUUUGGGCACGUUCCAGGUCCGAUAUAAAAUGGCUGAUCGUAAUAGUAUUAUAUUGUAGUAGUACACGUGGUCGCUGACUCAGCUCUUAUCCACGAACAGCAUAGAUCCCAAUGAAGACUGCGGAUCAACGGGGAACCAAGACAUGGGUUCAGUGGGAUAAAGUAAAUAGAAAAUUAAGUAUGGCAAUAGAGCUUUUUUGGUUGAUUUNNNNNNNNNNNNNNNNNNNNNNNNNNNNNNNNNNNNNNNNNNNNNNNNNNNNNNNNNNNNNNNNNNNNNNNNNNNNNNNNNNNNNNNNNNNNNNNNNNNNAGAGAGAGAGAGAGAGAUUUCUUUAGCAACAUAAAAUAUGAAAAACAGGGUACUAGAAUACCCGAACCUCUUUUUGACUCCCUGUAGAUUGUCUACUUCUUUAAAUCGAAAGGAAGCCAAUAAAUCGAAUAAAUGGAAUCACUUAUUAUCACCUAACCAGACCCAAAAUUUUCUUAACUCACUUCCACUCUUUACAAAUGUUCCCGACCCCUACCGUCAUGCGAAAGCUUCUCCCAUGUAGCAACCUCUUCAAUAGAGGAAGAAGGGAAAGACCAAGGGAGAGACAAAGGGAGGGAGGGAGGGAGGUGGUGACCCUCAGAAUGAAGGUGACAUAAUGACCAUACACUUUCGAACUGUAAUUAGCUGCUCGGUGGCACUAAAAAUAAAAUAUUUGAAAUAUAUUUUCACUGUUCUCUAGUCGCUUUUUGAUCCACUUCAAAUUAUUUUUAUGCCCAUUUUCCAAAAGAGCACAAGCCAUGGAAGUCAACCGUUAAGCGUGGUUGCCCGGAAAAAUCGAGAUAGUUAAAGGGAGAUUAGUCGUGGGACCCCGUCGGCUACAAUUCGGCGGCGGCCGUGAUUUGGGGCAGGUUUUUCCUUCAUGAAUUCGUCAUUCUUGUGCUUUAUGACGUCAUCACCUGAGAUCGCUCAUAUCCGUUGAAGUUUGUGGCCAAUAUUUUUUCACCGGUUGCUGGUAACACCGGCGUUACAUCAACAAUUUUCUGACUUCACUGAUUUAAAUAAUAAAUAGGUCAAUUUCCACGAUCAAUUCUCCAAUUACAUUUGCGGCCAAAAGUCAGAGCCUAAUCAGAGUAUCAAAAUUUUCUUUGGCGUCGGAAGCUCAGCGACCGUGGACGGCGGAGAGGGUGACGUCGUUGACGGUGCAGGUAAGCCCCUUGAUCGACAUCGAGGAGCCCGCGGCACGCACCCUCGCCAGUACAAACUCCGGCUGCUUCGGGUGCGCCAGCGCUGCAGUGUCACCGCCGAGCAUGAGAACUACUGAUGCCAUCUCCGGCCGGUCCUCCGGCCGGUCCUGCACGCAGAGGAGGGCGACCUUUAUGCACUGUUGAACCUCCACCAAGGGGAUGGGGUACCCCAGCAAGGAGUCCACCAGCUCCAGCCCUCUGCCUUCCUUCCAUAAACUCCAUGCCUGCGAAGAGCACCCACCCAUGGUCAGACUAAAAGCUUCUCAUUAAGCUCCUCUAUGGUUGGUCUCUCUCUCUCUCUCUCUCGAUACUUACAUAGCCCAGGAGAUUGAGUUUUUGAUCGGUGUGCAAGAUGCCCCUGUUUCUUCUGCCGCUGACGAUCUCAAGCACGAGGACACCAAAGCUGAAGACGUCGGAUUUCGCUGAAAAUGUCCCCUCCAUGGCAUACUCCGGCGACAUGUACCCGCUGCAGCAAGGAGAUCAGCAGCUUCUAGAUAGGUCGAGCUUUGAAGAUCGAAAAGCAAAGUGAAGGUGAGGAGUCAGAGGAAGGGUGUGAGAGAGAGAGAGAGAGAGAGUGAAUUUGCCUGGGAGAUGAACUGAAGAGAGAAAGAAAGAGGGACAUGGCGCUGACAGAGGUAGUCAGAAAGAGAGACAUAGAAGGUUCGGAUGGACAGGGGAGCAAGACAGAGAGAGGAGACUAACUAGGUUCCGACGAUCCUUCGAGUGAUUCCCUCGGUCUCGUCGCCGGCAAAGAUCCGGGCCAUGCCGAAGUCAGAGAUCUUAGGGUUCAUGCCGUCAUCGAGGAGGACGUUGCCGGCCUUGAGAUCCCUGUGGAUGAUCCGGAAGCGGGAGUCCUGGUGAAGAUAGAGCAGCCCGCGAGCAAUCCCCCCUAUUAUCCGCCACCUCGUCGUCCAAUCCAACAGCGCUGCCUUGGUUUCGUCUGCCAGGAUAUAGAACUCCUUUAGACAGAGAGAGAGAGAGAGAGAGAGAGAGAGAGAGAGAGAGAGAGACGAGAGAGAGAGAGAGAGAGAGAGAGAGAGAGAGAGAGAGAGAGAGAGAGAGAGAGAGAGAGAGAGAGAGAGAGAGAGAGAGAGAGAGAGAGAGAGAGAGAGAGAGAGAGAGNNNNNNNNNNNNNNNNNNNNNNNNNNNNNNNNNNNNNNNNNNNNNNNNNNNNNNNNNNNNNNNNNNNNNNNNNNNNNNNNNNNNNNNNNNNNNNNNNNNNUCUCUCUCUCUCUCUCUCUCUCUCUCUCCCUCUCUCUCUCUCUCACUCACUUCCUUGAGUCCUCUUCCCCAUUAGUGACAAGGGGUUAAGAAUUUCAAGUAUUGAGAGCUUUGAUCUCCUCUCUCUUUGCUUCUUCUCACCCCCUUUCAGCCACCAAGCUCUUCUCAUCUUGAAGUGACACAAGGUGGGGAGAACUAAUUGGCCAUAAAGGAGAUUUACUUUCAAGCAAUUUACAUUUCAACAUUUAAGUUCAGUUUAUGUCUUUCUUUUUAUGCUUCAAUUUCUUUUAUAGAAUAAUCACAAAUAUCUCUCUUGAAGUCUUCUUAAACAUUUAUUGAAUAUCCACUUAUAUUUUAUUGUAAUUCGAUGUUUGAUUUCUCGCUUCCUUGUGGAUUGACUUGGACUCACCCUAUAUUCAUUUCCUUUGAAUUAAAGUCCAAUAUAUAAAUGUUAUUUGAUUAACCAUUAAUCCUAACGACAAUUUUUGGUUCAUCAAAUUGGCGCCGUUGCCGGGGAAGCUUUCGUCAAACAUCAAUUUUUUUUUAGAAAGUUUUUCUUAUUAUAUCUUUACUGACUUUUAGUCAAGCCAAGCACUCCAAGGAAUUUGCACAAAGGGUAAGUCUAAACUUGAAUUCAUUUUAUGCUUGGUAGAAGAUCAUUGCAUCCUAGCUUAACUUCAUUAGAAGCCACUCCCACCAUUUCCAAAUCUUCUAAAAUGGCUGAAAAUUCUGAAGAAAAAUCACUAAGAGAUUAUUUCAAUCCUACUAAUAGUUUAGAUCUCUUUCAAAAUCCUACUUGCACUCAUGAUAUUAUUCCAGGCAUUUUUCAAAUUCUCCCUCAUUUUUAUGGAAAGAUAAAUGAAAAUACUUAUGAUCACUUGUAAGAAUUUUUAAAGAUAUGUGCUACAAUUCGUAAUUGUGAUGACUCUUUGAAAAUCACUUUAUUUCCUUUUUCUUUGAAAGUUGAAGCCUCUCAUUGGAUAUCUACUUUGAAUUUACAAACCAUUACUUGGCCCAAAUUAGUGCAAGAAUUUUUAACUAAGUUUUACCCUAGAGGAAAAACAAAUAUGAUGCGCAAAAUGAUCAUGAGUUUUUUGCAUAAUGCAUGGACUAGAUUUAAAAAUACACUUAGAAAAUGCCCACAUCAUGGUGUUCCUAAAUGGUAGCUUAUUCAAAUUUUUUAUGAAGGGCUUAAUUAUCAACACAAACAAAUGAUUGAUGCAUCUUGUGGGGGGUCUUAUGCUAACAAGAGGGAAGAUCAUGUAUAUAAUCUCUUAGAAGAACUUAGUGAAAAUUCUUAUAAUUAUGCUUCUUCUGAUUAUGAUUGCACUAACCCUCCUCUCAAGAAAGAUGGAGUUUAUGAACUUGUUAAACAUGCAGAUAAGGAGCUUUGCAAUGAGGUGACAGAGAUUCACAAGAAGCUAGAGAAGCUUCUCUCUAUACAAGGUACAUCUAGUUCUAACCCCUCACCUCCUAAGGCUUUCAUAUGCUCCAUUUGUUUUAAUAAUGAUCAUGAUGAGAAUAGGUGUCCUGCUUUUCUAGAGGUAGUAAAUAAUGAGCAUGUAAAUGCAUUUAACCAAUCUCCCUUAGGAAAUUCAUGGAGAACCAAUCAAGUAUCUCAAGGAUAUCAAAAACAACCCUCUUCGAAUUUCCAAUCUCAAAACAAUUUUCAAAGACCUCAAGGUUUUCAAAACCCUCCCCAAUUUCAAAAUCCUCAAGGUUUUCAAAACACUCAAGGUCUUCAAAAUCAUAACUCUCCACCUAUUCUCCCUUACCCACCAAGGAAUGCCUAUCAAGCAAACCCUAACCAACCACACCUAAAUAGGCAACCAAUAGGAGGACCUCAACCACCACAACCGCCUCCCAUCACCCAACUAGAAGACACGGUUAGGGUCCUUAAAGAGUAAAUGGGACAACAUCAACAAGCCUUAAACCUCCUUAUGUCUCAAAAUCAACAACUUCUCCAACUUCUCCAAGGAAACCUAGCCCAAUCUAAUGAGUCCAACCCUAGGGGCCAACUUCCUAGCCAAACUAUCCCUAACCUUNNNNNNNNNNNNNNNNNNNNNNNNNNNNNNNNNNNNNNNNNNNNNNNNNNNNNNNNNNNNNNNNNNNNNNNNNNNNNNNNNNNNNNNNNNNNNNNNNNNNGAGAGAGAGAGAGAUAACUUCUGAAAAUUAUAUAUUAAUGUGUUACUAAAUCAAGGAGAAUAAUACAUAUUUGAGAAUUAUUUCACAAGUUAUCAUGUUAAUUAUUUGACUUGUCAUUUUGAUAAACCUCCUUAAAUCUUAAUUUAAAUUGAUAUUUUAUAAAUAAAAAAUAUUGAUGAAAAUUUAUUUCAUAUGUUGAAGUUUUAUUUUCAUUUAGUUUAUUUUUAAAUGAAAUAUUAUUGUGUUAAAUUUUUAUGAUUAACUAAAAUAUAUUUUCUACAAUUUUUCCAAAUUUUUAGGUAUUAAAAUAAAUAUCAAUUUAAAAUAUAAAUAGACAAAAUGGGUGUACUAUUAGUAGGCUAGAGGCACACCGCCUAAUAGGCCUGCAUGGGCUAGAGGCCACACUACGCUUGGUAGCAAGCCUAAGGGGCACACCGCCUAACAAGCCAAAUGCAGGCUGGAGGCCACAUUGUGCCUGAUAGCAGGCCUAAGAGGCACACCGCCUCUUGACCCGUGUAAACCAGGUCGUGGAUUUGGAUUAUGGUUUGGGCCGAAUAGAUCACCUCCAAUGCCUACUAGGAGCUGGGUUUCAAUCAAAAUCAUCCUUGGGAGCUUGUAGUCAAGUUCGGUCAACCCUUUAGGAAGUGCAUACAUUUAUUGAGGCAUAUUGAUAAAUAUAUAGAACUUUAUAUUUCUGUAACUUCAGAUAUGGGACUAAAUGGCUCUUCUUGUCAUUUUCAGAUUCAAUGAUAGAGCGGUAGCUGCAGCAAAGAUUCGAUGCACUAGAAGUGGCCACGUUACCGCCCACCAUUGCACAAAAAAAGUAGUGCCAAAUCUAAUGGCAGCUGCCAUCAGAUCGGAUGCACUAGAAGCGACCACGUCACCCCCCACCAUUGCACAAAAAGUAGCACCAAAUCUAAUGGCAGCCGCCAUUAGAUCGGACGCACCAAAGGAGGCCAUGUCCCCAUCCACCAACACGUGGUAGGGUGCCCACACAGAUCUCGAUAAAGCAUGUGAAAAAGUAGUGAGAGCUCUAAUAGAUCUGACGACGAUUAAGAGGCCAUGUCAUUCUCUUCAAAACAAAAUUAUGGUGCAAGAAUCCAAUGGUCUUCAUUGAGCCACCCGAUUGAGGACAUGUUGACAAAUGUUAGUUAUUAUUUGGUAAAAUAGACAUUUUUCAAUAUUGAUUAUUCUCUCACACAAGAUAAGGGUAUAUUUGUAAUUAUUGAUUAUCAUUUGGUAAAAUAGACAAUAUCGGUUAUUGCCACAUAAGAAAAAGGGAAAAUGUUAGAAAAAUCAGAGAAAAAUCAGAAAAAUAUGAGAGAAAAUAGGAAGUUAAAAUGGAAAACACGAUUUGUAGUUCUGGAGAAAAACAAAGGAGGAAGAGGAAAGAGAAAGAGAUACUUUUCGAGUUGUUUUUGAGUUGUUCUUGAGAGGAAACAAUUGUUUUUCUUUUUCAUGUAAAAAUAGAUUUCUAAAGAAUGCAUCAUUGAUUUUUGAUCGUUCUCUUAUACCCUUCUCACCUUAAAUCCAUUCCGUUGAACUAGAUGCAAGAUUGGGAAGUGCUACUCAGAGGUUGACAUCAAGUCAUACAUUCCAAGGGUUCUAAGUUUGAUUUUUAAUAAAGUUUUCAUUAUUUGCUUGUUUGAUCUAUGAAAUAAAUUUAUUUUCUUAACUUUAAUCAUUUUUUUACUUGUUUCUUUUCUAUUUUCAUCAUUCUAAAGUAUAUUUCAUUUUAGUAGAAUUUUCAAUUCACAUUUACAUUUAUUUACCAUUUUAUUUCCUUCAUUACUUUGAAUAUCAAAUUCAUAAUCCAUUAAAUAAGAUAAUAAAAGAUUUCUAAAAAGCUCUCCAUGAGGAGAUGACCUAGCUCACCAUUAUAUUCAUUUAAUAUUAUUUUUGGUGAAUUUAGUUUUAAAAAUUAUUAAAAUUGAAUGAUAAUUUUAAUAAUGACUUAGAGUCACAUUAGAGAGAGAGAGAGAGAGAGAGAGAGAGAGAGAGAGAGAGAGAGAGAGAGAGAGAGAGAGAGAGAGAGAGAGAGNNNNNNNNNNNNNNNNNNNNNNNNNNNNNNNNNNNNNNNNNNNNNNNNNNNNNNNNNNNNNNNNNNNNNNNNNNNNNNNNNNNNNNNNNNNNNNNNNNNNCUCUCUCUCUCUCUCUCUCUCUCUCUCUAUAUAUAUAUAUAUAUAUAUAUAUAUAUAUAUCACUAGGCUGAACAUUACUUAAGGCAGAUUUCCUCGUCUAGGAAAAAGGAACUAGGAAAAACCAGGUACGUGGGGUGAGGAGAGCUAAUUUUCAGGAAAAAUCCGACCGUUGAUCUCAUUUCGAUUGCAAAUGGCUUUUGAUUCUUUUGGCAUGAACUUUGACGGGUGGAAAAGGAGGGAAUGAAAUGCCAUCUAACAACUGGACUAUUUAUAAUGUGUUGGCUAGAAUCCUGUAGAGUCAGGUCAACAACAAGCUUACUCGAAAAAAUAGUGCUCGUAAAUCAGAGAUUGCAAGAACAUAUGCUUUUGUUGGGAACAUCACUUUUAAGAGUAUUUCUUGUAACCAUCGAAGGAUUCUAGGAAGAAGAAUUCACUUGUUGCAGGGGCAUACUGACAGCUGCCGCAUGUACCAACCCCUGUAAUGAAUUAAGGUAGCUUCAUGAACACUGAAACAAGCAAUGUUGGCAACGGUGGUUUACAAGCACGUCCUUAUUAUGCCCAGGAUGACUGUCAAAAGGGGAACCUUCAAAGAAGUGGAGAGGAAGAAAAAUAGGGAAGAAUGAGCACAAAAAUAUUGUCAAUUGCUUCAUUUAUUGGCUAAUGAACCCGGUUGUUCAUUUAUUUCCCAAUUUAGCAGGCCCAUGUCAAUUGGGCAUUGUCAAGGGCUAAAUAUUCAGAUUCUUUAGAGCGCAAAGAAUGACACAGUAGUAUGAUAUGAUUAGACGGUUCAAAUUAAUCAGCCACACCCUUUUGAGUCCCAGUUACAGUCAGCAUAACUACUGGCUCUUACCACUUCUGGCCAAGCACUACCUGCAACUUUUUCUUAUCGCAGCUGCCUGUUUUGGUGUAUCCAGAGAUCGGCCUGGGUUUGACUGGCUUUGGGACGCUCUUCUCAUUUCUGGGCAUCAUCUUCUUCUUCGACAAGGGUCUCCUCGCCAUGGGAAAUGUAAGUGAAGCUUCCAUGAACUGGAAAGACCGAGGAUCUCUUCCUUCCUGAAGCUGUUUUGACUUUGAUCCUUCCUUCUCAGAUCCUCUUUGUGUCGGGGGUGAUGUUGACCAUCGGAUUGAAGUCAACCGUACAGUUCUUCACCAAACGCAAGAACUACAAGGUUUGACCGCGCGUUCACUGAGAGAAUCCCCACAAGCCCCUUUUCCCUGGCCGCCUUAUGACUCACACCUGGGCCAAAUUUUGCUAAUUUUAUCAGGGUACGAUCUCAUUUAGCAUUGGGUUCUUUCUAGUCCUGAUCGGAUGGCCCGUUUGUGGGAUGAUCUUGGAGGCGUACGGCUUCAUCGUUCUCUUCAGGUAUGUCGGCUUCUUCUUUCUUCCCUCUCAUCAAGCUGGGCCAGUGGGCCCCAUGAAGCAUGGGCUGGGCCACAGCGAAGCCCGGCCCGAAAAAGUCUCCUGUAGGAAUCACAGUAGAAUCACAUGUGGCCCACACAAAAACAUGGGAAAGUUGGGUUCAUGCCGGGCCAAAUGUGAAGCCCGGCCCGGAAAAUAUCCUCUGGAAAUGAUCCUGGGAUCUCAUGGGCCCACCGAAAAACCUAGAAAGCCUCUUCUGGAGAUGACCCGGGAAUCAGAUGGCUUCUUCUCGUGGGCAUCCCUCUUGCGUUGACCUCCAUCUGCUCUCUGAUUCUUCAAGGUGUUAGUUCACUAACUGGCGGCAAUUUGGUUGUCUGGCAGCGGGUUCUGGCCGACCCUGGCGGUGUUCCUCCAGAGGAUCCCCAUCCUCGGAUGGCUCUUUCAGCAACCCUUUGUGACGGCGGUAAGUCAGCCUGCCACAAAAGUCAACUUACUACGAUAAGUCAACCCAUUAUGAAUCUCUCUAUGAUGUUUGACCUCGGCCCCUCCAUCUCUGACUUCAGUUCUUGGAUCGUUACCGGGGGAAGCGGGUCCCAGUGUGAGGCUGCCUCUGUAAGAUAUCGAGAACCCGCCUCUCUCCCCUGUCCUCUCUCUCUCUCUCUCUCUCUCUCUCUCUCUCNNNNNNNNNNNNNNNNNNNNNNNNNNNNNNNNNNNNNNNNNNNNNNNNNNNNNNNNNNNNNNNNNNNNNNNNNNNNNNNNNNNNNNNNNNNNNNNNNNNNACGAGAGAGAGGAGGUCGUCACUCAGAAGAAGGAGAGAGAGAGAGAGAGAGAGAGAGAGAGAGAUUCUUGGGUCUGACGGACAAUGGAUACGCAUAAAUAUCAGACCGAGUCAGUCUUCGGAGUCUGGUGGUGGGAGGACGAGGUAGUCGCCGCGGGGGGAACGUGGCCGGAUUUCCGGCCGGGGAGAGACGUACCCGGCGAGGAGAUGGGAAUGGGCUGGGCGUGACCACGGGCAUGGGAUAUUCGCCCCGGGAUUCCGGGCCUUGGAGCCCUCGCCAACGACCUCCUCCCUCCUCCAAGGAGCGGCUGAGUGCGACGGGCGGCGACGGCCGGGCGCAGGGGAGAAUAUUCAACGCAAGCGGGGGGAAUAUCCGCUUCCCUUCCGCGUCUCUCAUUCGACCGCCCGCCCGCGGGAAUUAUCUAUGGAUCUAUCUGUCCAUCGCCUGGCCAACCCCGAGCGGGUUGGCUGUCCCCCGCCGUCUCUCACUCGACCACGUUGGCCCUCAGGUUGACGUGUGCCGGCCGGCUGGAAGCUCCGCGGCAACGCUCCCCGACGGACGAGCCGUGGCCAUAAUCUUCCAGGCGUCAGAUAUCCACGCUCAACGAAUCCGCGGCCCCGUCGCGGUCCAAGAUUUUCUCUCCGAGUCGCACAUCUUUUUCCGCCGACCGCGAGCGCUUCCUCCUCCCUCACAGAGGCCCCACUCCGGCGCGCACCGUGUGUGCUGUAAGGAAGCAUGCCGCUCUCAGAGACCCCAAAGUCUAGGGUUCGCCGAUCAUGAUCGAUCGUCGAUCCGAUCAGCCAUAAUCGCUGAUCGUGAUCGUUGAUCGUCGUGAUCGACGAUCUCACCGAUCGUGACCGGGUGAUCGUCAGAAAUAAUAUUAUAUUAUACUAGUCCUUGAUAUUAUAUAUAAAUAAAUGCACAAUAAAUAUAUCGAUUACUUAUAUAGGUAAAUAAGAUAUAAAUAAGCGUACAAAUAUCUAAAAGUAUAUAAAUAUAAAUAUAUCGUACCAGAUAAACAUAGGCGUAGUAUAUAUUGUUAUAAUAUGCCUAAAUGUUAUAUAUGACUAUGCAUAUGAUAUAUAUUAUACGUAAGUAUUACAUAUAAAAUAUAUAAAUUUAUAAACUACGUAAUAUGAUGAAUAACGCAUAUUUGUAGUAAACACGUAAAAAGAGUAAAAAGAGAGUAAGAGAGGGAGGGGCCGUGGUAGCUGACUUGGCAAUGGAAGUGAUGUUGGUGGCGACAAAGUCAUGGGGAGGAGAGAGAGGCUGCAGUGGUGAAGCUUUUAGACAAAAAGAGAGAGGAGGCGAUUGGAAGGGGGGUGGGACUCGGAGUUGAGAGAGAGAAAGAGGGAGAUUUAAUCUUUCUCUCUUAAGUUAAAUCACAACUGUUGGAUGAUGGAAAGUCAUCAUGAUCCAAUCGAUGGUUAAUUGUAAGAUCAUGAUCCACCCAUAGAUCGAUGAUUGAUCAAGGCCCUAGAUCAUGAUCGUAAUUGUCACCAUUUUCACCGAUUAUGAUAGACGAUGAUCAUGAUUGUCAAUUUGAUGAUCGAUCGAUCAUUGAUUGAUGUACCCUAGAGAUCGAUCAAUUUGAUCGAUCGAUCGAUGAAAAGUCAUCAUUUAAUGGAUGGUCAAUCGUAGGAUCAUGAUCCACUAGUUGAUCGAUGAUCGAUUGAGGGCCCAUAUCGUGAUCGUGAUCUUCACCACUUUUCACUAAUUGUGAUUAACGAUCAAUCGAUUAUGAUCGAUAUACCCCCACCCCAAACAGUAGCCAAACCACUGCACGUCGAGAGCAGCCCACCAAGAGGCUUUGGUUCCACAGAGAGGAAGUGGAGCAGAUGAGGGUUUUUGAGACUCAACCGACCAUCUGCGGUCCUCCACCGAAGGUCGACCUUCCUCCCCGGCUUGCAAAAGUUGCGUUGAGCUCAGAGCCCCCCACACCUCCCCCCCGGGCCCCAGAGAGAGAGAGAGAGAGAGAGAGAGGACGGUCGUUGGUUCGUGGUGGUCGGUCGACGGUCGGUCGGUCGGGACGACGNNNNNNNNNNNNNNNNNNNNNNNNNNNNNNNNNNNNNNNNNNNNNNNNNNNNNNNNNNNNNNNNNNNNNNNNNNNNNNNNNNNNNNNNNNNNNNNNNNNNGAGAGAGAGAGAGAGAGAGAGAGAGAGAGAGAGAGAGAGAGAGAGAGAGAGAGAGAGAGAGAGAGAGAGAGAGAGAGAGAGAGAGAGAGAGAGAGAGAGAGAGAGAGAGAGAGAGAGAGAGAGAGACAGAGAGAGACAGAGAGACAGAGAGAGAGAGUGUGAGAGAGAUUCCUGGUUGCUAAACGAAGCCGGUGCCGUCUGUUUUAUAGCACAGAAGCAGUGGAGGGAGGAGUGGAGAUGGACGAGACCCUCUGCGGUUUCCCCGUGAAGGGAGAGGAGAUGCCCGGCGAGCGCCAGCUGACGCCGGCCGCACGUGUCCCUCGACGAGAAGGGGGCGAGGCGCCGCCGGCGGAAGUGGGGCCCACAACCACGCCCGGCUUUCCCGCGCAGCAGAAUCAGCCCGAAGCGGAUUAAUGUCUCUGUGGGUCCCCGUGUUUAGACCGUUGCAACUUGCCUAAACGACGCCAUAUGCUGAGUUGGAAGAUAUUUACUAGCCCCAUACUUAUCUUCAACUCUAAUUUUUUUUUCUGCUUACACUUUUUCUUUACGGAAAUUAAUUUAAAACCCAUUAAUCUCUACAAUGUCUACACCUAUGUUUCUUCUUCUUAUUGUGGUCUCAGCCAUUAAUUGAGAAUAUGAAAAUGCGUUUAUAGUGGUCAUGCUAUUAAAAAUAUCCCAUUUUUACUAAAAAUAAUCCUCACUUCUGAUGAAAGUUCUUGAUCCUGUAGACUAGAUUAGAUGUAAGAAUCUUCUAGACUAAUUUUCUUAACUUUGCAUUAAUGUAGGACCCAUUAUUGUUAAGCAUCAAUUGAAGGGCCAUAUGACUCCACAAAGAAAAAAAUAGAAUAACAUGAUAAAAUCUUUGGAUUAAUCUGUUUACUUUGAUAAACCCAAGUCAUUUUGAGAAAUAAAGAAGUAGAUAAAUGAUGUGGCAUUAUUCCUAUGACAAUAUCAUCCAACAAAGAUCCUUAACAUGAUGAACUAGCACAAGAAAGUGGAAACUUGCACUUUUUCGAGUCGACACGAAGAGUAUUAUGGGUUGUGAUCAUUCACUAUCACUAAAUAAACAGCUUGAGGGCAGCCAAAAGCAUGUUUGGAAAUGUGAUCAAAGGAUUAGUCGAGAAUCAGGAUGGCAAACACCCUUGCUUGAAUGUGCUAAAAUGGUACAUGGUAUGAUGCCUAAGCAGAUAAAGAUGAAUAAGAAUCAUAAUUUUUUUUUUGUGUCAAUGUGAUAGGAAGACUUACAAUGGGUCAUAGUUACAACUGGCACCAUUUCUAGUGGUAUGAUUUCUUCAACUUUCAUCAAGGAAAAUCUAAAAGAAAUAAAAGCUUGCGAUUCCUGAAGGGGUUAAUUAAUUUCUUGUCUUAGAAAAAGUUAGUGGACACUUGGUACAGUGCCAUUAGAUAGGACUAUAUAAAAUUAGAGGCUUGGGAUUAUUACCAUAUAGUGAUGCAUCACAAAUCCCAAAGACGUUUUAUGAAAUGGAUCUACCAAAGAUAUGAUAAACUACUCAAAUGGGAAGCAAUGAUAUGGUGGAUGCCCAAUGGAAGAAAUAACAGUAGAAAGUCUAUAAAGAUACUUAAAUGGAUAGAGCUAACAAAUGUAGGCCCAUGUGACUUUUUAUUUCAAUGGGUCAACUUGUAGUAAAAAAAUCAACUUUAAUUACGAAUAUUUGAAAAAAAUGGUUCAACUUUCUACUUUUCUCACAAUAUAUCUACAUAUAUCCGUGUGUUAUGAAAAUCAUAGAGUAAACCAUGGCAUGAUAAAUGGUCAUCAUUAGGACGUUGGUAUUUUCACAGGACUACAGAUAAACCUACCCCACUUUUUGUAAACCUCCUUGAAAAAGAGACAAGUUGUGUAAAGUAUCACAAUUUGUCGUGAUAAUCAUACAGUCUAACAACAAGGAACAAAAUUGGUGUUAUUGGUUAAAAAAAAAGAAAAGGAAAGCCAAUUCCGAGCUUCUGUGCUUGGACUUUUGAUGCCUUGACUAGCUUGGAUCCCCUCAAAGACUCUUAAGUUUACCCUCUCUCUCUCUCUCNNNNNNNNNNNNNNNNNNNNNNNNNNNNNNNNNNNNNNNNNNNNNNNNNNNNNNNNNNNNNNNNNNNNNNNNNNNNNNNNNNNNNNNNNNNNNNNNNNNNUCUCUCUCUCUCUCUCUCUCUCUCUCUCCUCUCUCUCUCUCUCUCUGUGUCUCUCUGUAUAUAUAUAUAGAUGUAUGUGGAAAAAGCAAAUGGGUGAACGGCACCAUGGAGUAUAAACCAGGAAAAAGGACGAAGAGGGAGGAGAAUAUCUUAAUUCUCUCACUUCCCUAUCUCUAUUUUCCAUCUCCCGGCAGCCCCUCUCAACCUGGCUCCCCCACCCUCCCCCACAGUCACGAACGCCUCCUGCUUUCUGUGCCAUGCCCACCGCCCCCCGCCCAAUACUCCAUCGCAUUCUCUACAUCCCCCUCCUCCUCCCUUAUUCCCCCUCCCCCCCUCCUCUGUCUCUGUCUCUCUCUCUCUCUAUCUCCGCCCUGAAUCCAUUCAUCCGACGUCGGAGCUGAAGGUUGUCGACCCGCAGAGUUUCCCGACUGGGUCUGUAUUUUUCGAGGAUUCACAGCGACGAGGAGCUCCGUUCGGGGGAGGAUUCCCAGAAUUUCUACAUGGAGGGCAGAGGUCUGCGAUGCCUGCCCCUCCUCCUUCUGCUUGCUGUACCCUUGAACCUCCCGUAGUUCUGCCCUCUUCGCCCUUUCUCUCUCUACUGUUAGUUUCCGUCAACCGGAGCCGUUUUGGGUCCUCUCGAAAGGGCCUCGAUGCUCUCCCCUACGAGGGUUUGGAUCUUGCGGCAGCUACACCGGCAGUCUGAAUUAUGCAGAUUUUCUCUCUCUAGAACAGCUGAAUCCGCUUCUUGGACCCCCAGCCCUUCUUCCGGUGAAACCGGCGAAGGAGCAUGAACAGCGAAGAUAUCUUCCUGAAGAAGAGAGUACGAAGAAAGGGGGGGAGAACCAGAGCCUUCUCCCCGUCUUCAACAUUGCUGACUUCUGCAUCUAUUGGCCUCCCUUUCUAAUCAGGAAGCGGUGGAUAUCUUGGGUUUUCUGUAUUUUAUGUUCGUGUUUAGAAAUAUUUUCAUAAUUUCCUUGGCUCAUGGUUGACCCAGAGAUUCCCAUAAAUUUGAGUCAACGAGGGCAGAUCUUUUCAUUUAUUUCAGCUCCAAUUAGUCAACGGCUUUAAUGCCUUCUUCUUCUUCUCCUUCUUCACGAGGAUUUCAGCGCCGGAAUGAUUUCGGUAGAAAAAGGCCGAAGAUUUUCAGCUCCACGAGGAUGAACAGAUGCAAUGUGGAGCCCUCCGAGGCCACGUCGGAGGUCUGCAGCCAGGUGGCCUCCAACCGCUCGAACCAGGAGGAGGCGACGGCCACCUCCCCGGGGAAGCUCUCACUGGACCUCUCCCUCUCCAGUACCGGCGAGAGCUUCACCGGAGCUCCUCCCCGCAGCGGCGGCGCCCCCGCCGCCAUGGCCCCCAGAGUCUUCUCCUGCAACUACUGCCGCCGCAAGUUCUUCAGCUCGCAGGCACUGGGGGGCCACCAGAACGCCCACAAGAGGGAGAGAACCAUGGCGAAGAGGGGCCUGCAACUGAGCUCCUUCCCCUCUUGCCCCAGCCUGGCUUCCCUCCCCCUCCAUGGCUCCUCUCAGGUGAUGGCUAUGGAGAUCAAAGCUCACGCCUUGCCGCACCGCGAGGGGCGCCGUGGCCGGGCGCCGAUGCUCUUGGAGGAGAAGGGAGAUGGGUUCUUCUUUGCCCGGAGCUUCCCCGGCGCCGGAAUCCCCCCCAGCUCGCCGGCGCCGGCGCCGGCGGAGGAGCUCGACCUCACCCUGAGACUGUGAACAAGUCUCCAUUCACUGUCCAUUGGUUUCGGAUCGGAUAGCUCGAUACCGUUCUCAAGUCAUCGUGAUCUGUGUGCGCUUUACUUAUGGAUUUGACCACGAUGGUUGACUUUAAGCAGGUGGGGGCGCUGACUUGGAUGUUGGUGUUCUUGGGGGAGGAGGAGGGGGAUGGACACCUCUCGUUCUGGAAUUGGAUGACUCAGAUCUUAUGGCCACAUAUCUGGAAUUUGAGAAUGAGCCAGGUUUGACUCUGAGCAGGUUGGUUGGGUUGACUUUGGCACAAUGUGCAGAUGCUAUGUCUUAGAGGGAGAGAGAGAGAGAGANNNNNNNNNNNNNNNNNNNNNNNNNNNNNNNNNNNNNNNNNNNNNNNNNNNNNNNNNNNNNNNNNNNNNNNNNNNNNNNNNNNNNNNNNNNNNNNNNNNNCGUCUCUCUCUCUCUCUCUCUCUCUCUCUCAUCUAUCUAUUUAUCUGUCUCUCUCCCUGGGCAUUGGAAUGGAGAACCUGCAGCACCACCACCGUCCACAGCCGGGCCUCCCCGGCGUGCUGAUGAAACGGCUGACAGGCGCACCCCUCCGUCUCUCUCUCAUCACCCCGCUCUCUCUCCUCCUCCUCGUCGUCUUCCUCCUCCGUCUGGUGUACCCCCCCCGCGAGCCCCAUCCUCCCCCUCCCUCCGCUCAUACCUCUCUUCGUCCGCUGCUCAUCCGAUCUUCCUCAGCUGACUUCUCAACGAGGAGAUGCAGCGACGGAAGGGGAGGCGCCGAGGAAGAGGAAACCGGAGCUGGACAGCUCCCGGAUCGCGGUCUGCCUCGUCGGCGGGGCCAGGCGGUUCGAGCUCACCGGGCCGUCCAUCGUGAAGAACAUCCUGGAGGAGUAUCCCAACGCCGACCUGUUCCUCCAUAGUCCGCUCGACAGGAACGCCUUCAAGUUCUCCAUUCUCAAGGAAUCCCCGCGGGUCGCCGCCGUCCGCAUCUUCGUCCCCGAGCACAUCAACGAGACCGAGCAACAGGCCAGGGUCCUCACGUCCAACGGCUCUCCCAAUGGGAUCCAGGUACGCGGCCCUCCCCUGUAGAUAGAGAGAGAGAGAGAGAGAGAGCAGCUUGCUGGUUAAGCUCAUCUGAUUGCUUUCGCAUGGCCGUGGAAUUUUGGCAGGGUCUUCUCCAGUAUUUCAGCCUCGUGGAGGGGUGCCUAGGGAUGAUCAGGGCUCACCAGACCCACAGCAACUUCACCUACGACUGGAUCGUCCGCACCCGCGUGGACGGCUACUGGUCGGCGCCGCUUGAUCCUGCUGUCUUCGUCCCCGGGGCUUACCUCGUCCCACCGGGCUCCCAGUACGGCGGCCUCAACGACCGGUUCGGCGCUGGCGACCAGCGCACCUCCCCGGCGGCUCUCUCCCGACUCUCCCUCAUCCCCCGCCUUGACGCCGCCGGCCGCCGCGGCCUCAACUCGGAGUCCGCCUUCAAGGCCCAGCUGGAAGAGUCCCAUGUCCGGUACGGGGAGCAUCCUCUUCCCUUCUGCGUGCUAAGCGACCGCCGGUACGGAUUCCCGCCGGUAGGGAAUGGCGUGCCGGUGGCGUCUAUGGGGAGCCGCGGGCCGCUCAGUGGCGCCAAGUGCCGCCCCUGCAGGCCGGCCUGCGUGGGUCUGUGCAUGGAAAGGGUGGGGAAGGCCUUGACCAGGGAGUGGAGCUGGACGGAGUGGAGAAACGGGAGCCUGGAGCUGUGCGAUGCCAGAGAGGGGUGGGAGGAUGGCUGGGAGAGCAUAUUCGACCGCGCCGCCGGGAGGGAGGCGGCAACGGCGAGGAGGCGGAUAGCUUCUCUCGACAUGGCCACCUGCGUCGAGGACCUUGAGGAGUUGAAGCGGAAGUCGGCCAGCUGGGACGCGCCGCCGCCAGCCGAGAUCUGUCAGAAAAAGUCAUCUUGACACGUUGAACUGUCCAAUUUUGGUCAAAAUUUUACACGAGGUUUCUUGAGCUGCAGUGGAGACGGACCUAACAACAUCAUAGACAAGACUUAGACGACUGUUUCCCAAUCUUGACUUCGAACGUUUUAUAAACAAGCGGUCAAUCGGAAGAUGAGAGACGUUCCUCCAGUCUGUGGCCUCGUGCAUGGUCUGUCCAAGACGAAAUCAACCUUCGCAGCUUCUGGGAAGCUGGGCCAAGUCGGACGAGCAUGAACGGCGAUGGUCAACGCCUUCUCACUCAGACCAGUGGCGAUAGAAGAGAUUUCGCAUCUCUCUCUAACGACAGUUCUAACUGGGGAGUGAUGUUCACCAAGCUUAGGUUGAAUCUCGGUGCCGGCAUCUUGGCCGUGACUGAGGUUCGUAGUCGUCACUGGGGACGUGAACGCACACUGCAUGCAAUAACGGCCCCAGUCAUCAGAUCAGAGUUUCUCUCUGAGUAACUGUGUGUGUGUGUGUGUGUGUGUGUGUGUGUGUGUGUGUGAGAGAGAGAGAGAGAGAGAGAGAANNNNNNNNNNNNNNNNNNNNNNNNNNNNNNNNNNNNNNNNNNNNNNNNNNNNNNNNNNNNNNNNNNNNNNNNNNNNNNNNNNNNNNNNNNNNNNNNNNNNCACACACACACACACACACACACACACACACACACACACACACACACACACACACACACACACACACACACACACACACACACACACACACACACACACACACACACACACACACACACACACACACAUCUGUAGUCUCACUUCGGGAUCUCAUGCAGAGAGCCAAGACCUACACUUUAUUGACAGGCUGUCGGUGGGUGGGAGGAAGAGGCGAAACAUGCGGCUCUCUCUCUCUCUCUCUCUCUCUCUCUGUGGUUUCGUUCCGUCGAGAGGAAGGAUGCGGAGAUGACGUUACGGUCUGUUGUGAGCCUUCUGGGUUGGCGGAGGGGGAGCGGCCGCCACCUGCGUCUCCGCCGCUGCCGUCUUUGGCGACCCGCUCCGGUACCUGUAGGCCCGUGCCAAGAUCAAGAACAGCCCAAGGUUGACUGCCCCGCCGACCGCCAGGGUCCAGUAGACCCUGUCGAGCCUGGAUGCGUUAAUGUUGUCCGGAAGCCAGUCCGUCGCCCGCCGCACCAGGUCAACCAGGGCGGUACUGAGGUAGAACCCCAGGGCGAUGAUCAGUGCCAUCAUCCCCGUGGCGGUGCCCCGCAAAGCCGGAGGAAACUCCUGGUAGUAGAGCGCCACCUGCCCGGGGAAGUGGAGGGCCUCCGCCACUCCGACGAGUACCAGCGGCGGCAGCAGCCAGAGGACGGACACCGGAACGGUGGCGCCGCCAGGGUUGUCGGCGAGGCGGUGGCUUCUCACGGCGCUCAUCCGCAUCCUCUCCACCAGGGCCGACGCCGCCAUGGCGGCGAUGUUGAUGGCGUGGCCGAGCCCGACGCGGCGGAGCAGCGAUUCCUCGCGGCCGGUCAACCAGCGCCAUGCGGGGAAGAUGAAGCGGUCCAGAAGACACAGAGUGACCGCGGAGGCGGCGAAGGAAGCGACGAUGAGGGAGCCGGCGGGGACGGAGAAGUGGGGGCCGAGGCGGCGGUCGACGGUCAACGCCUGGAGGAUGGUAAGGGUGGCCUGGAUGCCGAUAGAGACGCUGAGGAAGAUGCCGGUGGACCAGAGCGGGAGGAUCCUCACGAUGGCCUUCAGGUCCUCCACCUCCUGCACCGUGCACAGCCGCCAUGGCUUCGCCAGAGAGCCGUCCUCGUUGGUGUCCCCUCUCGUCAGUACCGCCGCCUUGUUUAGCCACCUGUCGUCAAGUCAAAGCCCACAAAUAAAAAAGUACACUUUCAUCUCUUUCCGACCCAUCGAUCUAAAAAGUCAAAACCUUUUUGACCUUGUAAUUCAAUGAUAUUUAAUGGUUAAGUACCUCAAGCUCGGCGAUGGAGGCUGAUGAGAUUGGGGCGCCGGCCUGUCUUGCCCGUAGAAGAGUUCCUCGCCCUCCGGCGAGGUCGGCAGCCUCCACUUCCUCACGGCGGCGACCGCCACGCGGGCCAAGCCGGUGAAGGGGCUCCCCGCCGGCUUGGGCCGCCGGUAAUGGCGCACGCCGAGGAGCAAGACGGCCGUGGCGGCGGCGCUGGCGGCGGCGCAGAUGCCGAAGCCCCAGCCCCAGCUGACGCUAUCCUGCACGUAGACGAUCACGGUGGCUCCCAACACGAAGGAGACAUACUGCGCUACGAAGUACCAGUUGAAGAACACGUUCUGAUCGGUGGUGCUGUCGAACUGGUCGGCCCCCAUGGUGGCGGUGGUGAACCUCGUGCCGCCGGAGACCACGCAGAUCAGGGCCACCGCCGCGUAGAGCGCGGCGAGCUGGGCGGGGUUGGCGGCCCGACAGGCGUCGGACCCCGUGGCGCACGGCGCCGGCCGCAGUGAGCUUAUGGUGGAGGUCAACGUGAAGAGAGUCGUGCCCUGAAAGCAGAGAUAAUGCAUUAGGAGUUUCUGAAGCCAACCAAUCUCUUCAGUCCGUGAUCAACUUUGAAGGAGUCCAUGAGAAGGAAGGGAGGAAGAAAAUGGGUUACCAGCAUGGAGACGGCGGUGGAGACGGCGAGGAUGGGGAAGCAGCCGAAGAAGGAGUCGGAGAUAACAGCCCCGAGGACGGGGGCGAGACUNNNNNNNNNNNNNNNNNNNNNNNNNNNNNNNNNNNNNNNNNNNNNNNNNNNNNNNNNNNNNNNNNNNNNNNNNNNNNNNNNNNNNNNNNNNNNNNNNNNNGCUUUUUUCUUGGGGUAAAAAAGUUGAAAAUGGGGAGAAUUCGGAGAAUUCGGGUAAUUACCCAUUUCCAUCGAGGUAUCCAGAAGACCCCCUACAAAAGGCCACAGUUCCUUCCCUCGCGCAUCAGCGCGCGUAGCUACUGAUCCGGCCACUGGAUCAUCGUAUCUUCAUUCAUGCGUAAAUCGAUAUCUAAAAGCAUCUACGCCCUGAGGCAGAUAAGCCCUAAAAGUUUGAUCCUUCGUAUCAGCAGUGAUUAAAGCGCAGAAGGCGUUUUCUGAUCAUUGGUAUGAAGAUAUGAUCAUCUCCCUUGUAUGAAACCGGUGUCAAUUCCGCAACAAUCAGUAACAUAGCGAAGGCCGAUCGAAACAUCAGGUUUCCGGAUGCUUUUGGAAUUGACUGGGCCCUCUACUGUUCUGCAGACGACAAUCCAUUGCAUUCAUUCUUAGUCAAAUGCUGAAGGCCAAAAUUCGACAGUUGGUCCACCCGAGUACUCCCUCCAGUCGGAAAAUGUACUCUGUCUAAUCAUUAUCCCGGCAUCGAUCCCUUUCGCCGUCCGUCUAAUCAUCGUCCUCCGUACGACGUUUGGUCGGCGCUUCUCGCGAACGCUACCGCCAUAUCUUGGAUCUCCGACAGUCCCGGGUGAGUCACCGACCCCCCAUCUCACCUUGUUGGGCCGUUGGGAUCAUUCAGAGAUCAAUGCUUGAAGCCCAGCCCGCUCCACCCCCGAGGUUUCUAAUACUUUAGGGUUGACGGACUAAAAGUUUCAGCAGACGAGAGGCCGUCAGGGCUCCGGUUCCAUGGGGUGGGAGGCCCGUCGGUGAUGGAGAACGGGGACGAGUGGCUCGCACUUGACAAGAUCCAGCACUUCGUCGCGUGUCUCCUCAUCACCGCCUGCGUGUCGGGCGUCUUGAGCCGGUCCCGGUAUCGCUUCCUGAGACGAUGGUCAACGCCGCUGGGCUGCGUUUCGGCCCUCGUCGCGGGGAUCGCCAAGGAGGCCGGGGACGAGCUCGGGUUCUGGGAAUCCGCCGGAGCCUCGCUCAAGGACGGCGUCGCGGACGUCCUCGGGAUAUUCGUCGCGGCGGUCUUCCUUUCCUUCUCGAGGAAGCCCUCUCCGUCGCCGGCGGAGAAGGUGGAUCGCGAUCGAGACCGAUCAAUGGUCUGAUUCGCCGUUCAUCGUCGGACUGGACUUUCUCCUACCAAUUUUGACCGCCGUGGCGAAUAUGAUCGAUCAACCCUGGAGAGGGGCGUUUGACUUGUGGUCGAUCUGGGUCUCCGAAAGACAUUCUCUCCCUGCCCGAAGAUUCUCUCUCUCUCUCUUCCUGUCUCUUACACACACAAAGACUCUUUCUCUCUCCCUCCCUCUCUCUUACACGCACAAAGACUCUCUCUCUCUCUCCCUCCCUCUCUCUUACACACAGACUCUCUCUCUCUCUCUCUCACUCACACACACACAAUCACUCAAACGCACACACUCACACAGACAAUUAGAAGUCGUGGACGAGCUUCCGGAACCUGGUCAUGUGGUCGGACUGGAGGGAGAUGGCGAGUGUGAGGCAGCCAUCCCCCGUGGCGCUCGGGAUCAAGUAGGCCAGCCCUUCGAAGAAGAUGCCACCGGGGCCCAUGAACACCGGCCUGCCCCAACCGAAGUCCGCGUCGUGGAUCGGCAGGCGCACCCAGCUGGCGACUGAGAGGUUGGGGCACCGGAAAGUUCGGGCGCCGCGCAUCAGCUUGGACAGGUCCGGCUGGAGCUCCAGGUAGUCCAGCGCCGAACGGAGGUAGUCGUCGUCCAUCCGCAUCAGCGCCUCGCGGAUCCUCCCCGCGACGCUUGUCACUGGGCCCUGCAGGAGCUCUCCCGCCGUCGCCAUUGGAGUCGUCGUGAAGAUGGCGUUCCCAAAGUAUCCCGGCGGGAGGCUGGGUUUCAGGCGGGGGCGGCAGUUCAUGGCAAUGUACAGCAUGGUCUGCUGAUCGGCCUCCAGGCCCCGCGCCUUGCAGACUCUCCGCCAUAUGUGCGCUGACAGGAGCUCGUACGAGCUGUACNNNNNNNNNNNNNNNNNNNNNNNNNNNNNNNNNNNNNNNNNNNNNNNNNNNNNNNNNNNNNNNNNNNNNNNNNNNNNNNNNNNNNNNNNNNNNNNNNNNNAUAUAUAUAUAUAUAUAUAUAUAUAUAUAUAUAUAUAUAUAUAUCUAUCAUCUAUUAAUAGGGCUUCUCUAGAAACCCACCUUCACCACCACUACCUCUCUAAAGACAAAUAAUGUUGUUGCCAACCUCGCUGCCAUUGCCUCUUUCUCCUCCUACUCUUAGAGACAAACAAUGUUACUGCUAACCUCACCGCUGUUGCCUCUCUCUCCCACUCUCUCCAUCUCUCACUCUCUCUUGUAUCAGCAAGCUUUGUUUGAUUUCUCAUUUAGUUUUUCUUGCAAUGUGUCCAUGUUUUGUUAGUGGUGAUUGUUAAUAUAUAUACACAUGUUUUGAACCUAUAUAACUUAGGCCCACUAUUAUAUUAUCAUUACUUUAAAUGAAUAUUUAUGUAAUGUAUAAGUUAGAUAAAAAGUUCAAUGUAAUAAUUUUUUUUAUUGUAUCGUAGUAAGUUUAAAUUAAUAAAGAUAAAUUUUUUGGCUCAUAUAUUUAUAUUACUAUCUUAUGAAAUAUAAUUUAUGUGUAUCGUAAUAAACUUGUUAGGCCUAAUAUUGAAAUAUAUGUUAAACAUAUGUAUCUAUAGUAGGAUAUAUAUUAUUCAUAUAUUACAUACAUAUUCUGUAUAUUUAUAUCAAGAACUUUGACCUAACAUAUAGAUUUAUAUCAUGUGAUGUCUGUAUAAUAAUAUAUAUAUUUAUAUGUAAUAUAGAUAUCUAUUUGAUAUACAUAUUAUAUUUUUUUCAUUUAACAUAGGCCUAAUAUGUAUAAAUGUAUAUUAUGACUAAGUAUAUAUAGUAGUAUAUAUUUGUAUAUAUUUCCUAUAUUUUAUAUAUAAUACUUAUAAUUAUAUUUAUUUAAUACAUAUAUUUGUAUAUAUAAUACUUCAAUAUAAUAUAAUAUAAUAUAAUAAAUCGACGAUCACUCAAUCAUGAUCGAUCGACGAACAGCAAUUUUGGCUGAUCAGAUCGACGAUCGAUCAUGAUCGCAAGAGUCUUGCUGCUGCAGCAGAGUGUCAAAAUGCUAUUUGCCUGUCUCUUAUUAAUUCAAAAUCUAGGGGUUCAGAAUGCUAUUUUCCGAUAAAACAAGGGCUUUUUUGCAAGAUGUAAAUAGCGCUUAUCGCUUCAGCUCGCGUCGCUGCCUGUAGCAAUCACAAAGGGGGACGAAGCCCUGUUCAUUAAAGCCUGCGUGUGCGAUCCAAAGAGGAAAACCACAGGCCCACGCGUUGACUUUGAGGCCGCUAUAACCAGUCAAACGGUUGACUGGAGAGCCGAUCAGGCCGCCCAGGCCGCCCACUAAACAUCCAGUUGAGAGAAUUACUGUACAAGCGGUUAGUCAACCUUCUGCCAAUGUACUUACAGGGAUAUUUACACUGCUAGCUAGCGACGUACUGGGAAGAAUGCACAUGAAGUCUGUGGGGCCAUCGUCGGUCUUGAAGUCGAGCUCAGCCCCAGCCCAUUAGCAUGUUGAGGACCCCCUCCUGGAUCAUAUUCAGAGUGGCGGGAUUCCUGUGGCCGUCGUCGAGGAGGACCCUGUAGACCUCCCACUCCCUAUCUCCGAUCAUGUGCCUUCCGAUCUCCGCCUGAGAAACGCGGUAGCUGGGUUUAAGUUGGGCUUCUCCGAGAUAAUGGAAAAAAAUGAGUAGAAGGAUUUUUUUUAUUUUUUAUUUUUACCGAGAAGAUGCAGGCGUUGAGCAGUUUAAGAGCGAGGGUGAUGUCGUAGAAGACGAGGGGUCGGCCCCUCCCCGAGAGCUCAACUGGGUUGGCGACUAGAAUCUCUGUCUCGGGUCCACGACUGAGAACGGCGACCCGGAGGGGGCGGAAGAGCUCCAUCCUCAAGCGGGAGCAUAAGGCCUUCUGCUUGUUUGGGUCGAGGAUCUUCUUCCCAUCCGCUUGCAUCACGAAGAGGUCAAAUUCGCAGCUUUUGCACUGGUUCGCGUAAAAUCGUCCAUAUGAUAUCUGCCAGGAAAAAAAACCCAUGCAUGUCACAUUGUCAAGAGAGAGAGAGAGAGAGAGAGAGAGAGAGAGAGAGAGAGAGAGACNNNNNNNNNNNNNNNNNNNNNNNNNNNNNNNNNNNNNNNNNNNNNNNNNNNNNNNNNNNNNNNNNNNNNNNNNNNNNNNNNNNNNNNNNNNNNNNNNNNNGAGAGAGAGAGAGUGCGGCAGUUUCGGCUUAACAAGGUAGGUAAAGGCACUUGAGAGAGAGAGAGAUCAAGUGGACCUGAGAAGGGAAUAUCGAUUGUAUUGAAGAGAUUCGUUAGACGUCCGACAGCCAUAGUCCGCUCUAUGUUGUCCGGCCCGGCCCGACCGUCCUUACCCGGUCCUAGGGAUCAGCGGUCACGACCGGUGACCGGUGCGGUCAGGGUCGUCGGACUGGUGACCGGUCGUGACCGGAGUCUCUCUCCUCUCUCUGUGAGAGAGAGUGAGGGGCUCGGGCCGGGCCUCUCCCUCUCUCCCGCUCCUCUCCGCCUCGCGCUCGUCCAGGUUAUGCUCGCCCUCUCUCUCUCUCUCUCUCUCUCUUCGCCCUCUCCCGCUCAUUUCCCCCCCUCAUCCUCCCUCUCUCAUUGGCCUUUUCCCUAUUCUCCCACUCAUUUAAAUGUUAAAAUUUUAGUGAUUAUUUUAGAUAGUUUAAAUUAUUUAUGUUUCACAUAGUUAUAUAAAUGCAUGACCCACAUCUUUUUUUCAUUUGAUUUCAUCACGAUGAACAUUCAAGAUGACAUCUAAUUACAAAUAUCUCAUUUACUUAUUUAUAUAAUAUAUAUUCUACUUUAUUUAUAUCAUUUAUAAUUAAUGAAUUAUAAAUUUUAAAAAUUAGUAAGUACUAUCAUUUUGUUAUUUUUAGAUAACUUUAAUUAACCAAAUAAUAUAUAAAUAGCUUUAAUUUUAAAAGUAAUAUAAUAAUUUAUAAGUCAUAGGUCAGAGCCCUUGAUUGAACCAUGAUCAUGACUAGUCUUUGACUGUGAUGAUUGAUCCCUACAACAUACACACACAAUCUCUCUCUUUCUUAUAACAAUGCCAAAAAGUCCACGGCUGGAGAUGGAGCGGCAUAAAUCAAGUACUAAAAAUACUACCUUUUACAGCAAAAUCAUGUAAAUAGUGAUCAGAAUACCAAAAUAAUACAGAUUCUUCGGCAUGUCAGAAGAUCACAACGAAUUAAUUCCCUGAAGAAACCGCUCGGAAUCCCAUCGCUCAUGAAUCUGAAAGAAUCACAUGUAACACAUAAAUAAAUAAAUAAAUAAAUAUUGUUACUGUGGUAAAAAAGUCAAAGCAUUGGGGCUAAUAAUGGGAAAAGAAUUGGCACACCAUCAUUGUCGUUGUCGUCCUCCGGCCGCAGGGUGGGAACGUCGUCUGCAGGAGUGUGUUGACUCAAGAACAGCUGGAUCACCACCCAGUAUCUGUCGCCACCAGAGAGCCAAGUGUCCAUGUGCCUGCCGGCCGGAAAGUCAACGAAUGUGCACCGGCGACCCCUUCUGGUAGCCUCGGCGUGGAGCAUUUGCAUGUGGGAAGGAGGAACCAGCUCAUCUUGCAGCCCGGAGAUGAAUAGAAUCGGCGGCUCAAUCUGCAGCCCGGGUUUUGGAGCAAAAAUUUCUAAUCAAACAAGGUUCCAAGAUGGAUCAUUGGGGUACAUCCAAGUUCAGCUAAAGUCAACCCUGUUCUUCUAAGCAAUCCAGCAUUCUCCUGCCCGAGGGAAUUGUCAUGCACAGUGAAAUGGAGGAGUAUACGAUUUGACCAAUUGAAUCAUGGUAGAAGAUGUUUUAUUGCAAUUAAAACGUCUAUAAUUUAACCAGUUUUACCGACCAGAUGUAUGAUAGUCAACGCCCCAAUGCAGAAAGAUGAGCAUGCAUCUUACUUGUCCGAUGAUGUCAAUGGUUCUCCAGGGCGACCUCACAAAAUAAUUCAGAACUCUAAGCCCCUUUGAUCCGGAGCCUCCAAUGAACCACUUCAGGAAAGGCAGCACGACUGCAGCCAUGUCUGGAACAGAGGUGAAUGUGUUCUCCAGUAUCAGUGCCGAAACCUACAAGUGGGGCCAUUAUUCAACAUACUUUUAAGGCGUUUGGCUGCAUCAAGCGAGAGAGAGAGAGAGAGAGAGAGAGAGAGAGAGAGAGAGAGAGAGAGAGAGAGAGAGAGAGAGAGAGAGAGAGAGAGAGAGAGAGAGAGAGAGAGAGAGAGAGAGAGAGANNNNNNNNNNNNNNNNNNNNNNNNNNNNNNNNNNNNNNNNNNNNNNNNNNNNNNNNNNNNNNNNNNNNNNNNNNNNNNNNNNNNNNNNNNNNNNNNNNNNAGAGAGAGAGAGAGAGAGAGAGAGAGAGAGUGAAGUGGUUUUGGGAGGGAAUCCGCAGAAUUACGAUAGUUUUUCGCAUACCCCUUUGGGAUCCACUCUCCUCCGUCAAUCUAAGACACUUGUCGUCCAUGUCUACUUAACUUACUCGAUUAAUCCCGCGUUCUUCGUGGUCAGAACCUGUCGAAUCUCGUUCCCCAGGAACAAUGAAGCCAAUAAUUUCUCUCUCGCAACCUGAACAAGCCAUUAUAAGACCUCCAUUAUUAAAGCCGGUUAUUACGACGAGACUGUGGACGUCUAAAGUGGUGGCUUGCCGAAACACAAACAGUGUUAAGAAGGGAAAGGAGCAAGAAGGUUUCAUAGUCCACUUUCACCUUAUCAUUUACUUGAAUCCAUGAAAUAGAAUGGAAAAAAUUAUCUAAAAGGAUCUAAUGUCUGCAACAAUUUCUUUUCAUUCGUUUAUCGUGUCGGUUACUAUUUGCAGCUACGCUUACACAAUACCAAGCCAACCAAGUUAAGAAUAUCAGACUUGAAUACGAAGAACUUCCGAGGACGUUAUUAUUCUCACUAUGUGUCGAACCAAGCCAGUGUACACUGAAUACUGAAAAAAACACAUCAACGCCAAAGGAGCAGCCCUCCUCUCCAGCGACUAUCGGAAAGGUUGUCAUACACUAAGUUACUCAUAGCUUUGAAAUCUGAAGGAUGUUCAGGGAUAGCGUCCAUGAUUAGAUCCAACGGUAAGUCCUCACGAAAGCUAAGAUGCAUGUGUUCGUCUCGUAAAUGUGAUUUGACCGCACGGUCUCAUAAAGGUCAUAUCAUUCAACUUUCGCUGGGUCUGCAACUUGUGCUUCAACAAUAUUCCCCAACUUCUCUGCUAUCGUCUAGCGUUCUGUAAACCAGCUCUUGUCAGCUAAUCUCUUUCAGCAUCAACGGUCGCACACAUUUGACCGUCGGUUGCUUGGAUUAGCAAGACCGCAUUUUAUAACAGCAUUGAUCUCAACUGUACAUCUUCGCGAAUCAUGUAGAAUCAAAUAGAGCAACAGCUCCUAGCAAGAAGGCUUCUUUCGCUAUCUACCGCCGACGGUAUUUUCUUCCAUCUAUUUAUUCGGGUACAGCUUGGACAUCAACUUCUGAUUCAGUGAGCAUCUAUCUCAACAAGACUAUACCUUCUUUCUCAUAAAGGGGAGUUGAUUAAGAAGGUCUAAACCAAAUUCACGGUUUGAAGGAAGCAAGUUCUAAUUAUAUCUCACUCCUUUGAGGAGAAUCAGACCGUGUGUGCGUGAUUGAGCGAGCAAGUGAGUGAGUGAGUGCGUUGGAGAUAGACACAGAGAGAGAGAGAGAGAGAGAGAUAAGGUAGGGUAAAAGAACAGGGAACAAGUGAAUAGGCAAGAAGGGACCAGAAGACCUGGGAUGGACAAGGCGAAAACAACAGCAGCAGAAUGGAAGACGGGGGUACUUCAUGUUCGCUCAUUGCUUGUCCUUGAAUUACUUCCAAGAGUUCCAAGUAACCAAAGGCUUGAAACACCCAUUGGCGUUAUGCAGCUAAAUAUAUGGAUAGAUGUACAGAAAUAGAUAAAAAGGCAUAUAUAUCCAUAUUAUAUUAAAUGAAAAGAGGGGAGAAUAGAGUCUAAACUGGCAUUGAUAUAUCAGCACACGUCCGUAGAAGGAUUAAAGAUGGUUGAGGGAGGAAAGGCGGGUGAGGAGCGCAUGAGUGAGAGAGAGAGCUCUAAUCGACCCCUUUAGGGAGGACAGAAUAACAGGAGUUUGGGGAGGGCCCCUUCUCUAUAAUCGAGGAUGGCAUCUAAAGAUUGACGGUGCUAGCGUGAUUGACGCAGAAAGGGAAGAUAGCUACCACUAGGAACCUGAGGGGUCUGAUAGGAGCGUUGUUGUUCCGGGCAGUGGGGGCAUGGUGAGUGUCACCUUCUCUAUGAUACUAAAACUAAAGUCCAGUGGAGAGAACCUAUGACGCGUCAAGAAGGAAAAGUUACAACCUCACUCGUCGAUCAACCACAGCUUCUCUCUCUCUCUCUCUCUCUNNNNNNNNNNNNNNNNNNNNNNNNNNNNNNNNNNNNNNNNNNNNNNNNNNNNNNNNNNNNNNNNNNNNNNNNNNNNNNNNNNNNNNNNNNNNNNNNNNNNCUCUCUCUCUCUCUCUCUCUCUCUCUCUCUCUCUCUCUCUCUCUCUCUCUCUCUCUCUCUCUCUCUCUCUCUCUCUCUCUCUCUCUCUCUCUCUCUCUCUCUCUCUCUCUCUCUCUCUCUCUCUCUCUCUCUAAGUCCUUUAUGUGAUAACCGGUCCGCGAAGGAACCAAUUUCAUAGAGGGCGUUGGGUCUCAGUUACACUUUGAUGGAGGGAAUGGGCCUUAGUGACAUUUUGGGCAUCGUUGUUGGAUAAGGACUUGUAGAUUCUAUGAACUCUCCUAUACCCGCCCACUCCAUCUUUAUCGCUACCCUCGUCCCUUCUUAUGAGAAAUCAUGAAGUAUUUCAAAUUUUGAGUCCCUACUUAUUCCAAUUUCCUGUAUGCAGUUGUUCUCUUUCAGCACUAUGUUCCUCUGAAAGAUGAAACGUAGGUCAAGCAGGAGAGGACUGUCUGGUGAGGAGAAAUUUCCGUUCUUCUUUACAACCUAUGUAGCCCCAAGUUCUUGGAUUUUCGCCCAUAAAGUAAAAAGCGAUCCCUACUUGCUCCCUCUCGAAUCAGCUCACUUGGAAGGUCUUUCCGGGGUCCCUUCCAUCUGUCCUCCCACAUGUUCUCUCUGUUCUCGCUCCCUCUCUCCCUCUCUCCCUCCAACUAUUAUCUCUCUCUCUCGUGUCCUCUUCUGUUGGGUGAGUAAUACAUCCCUUAUAGUCUCUGUUUCCGACCCAUCCUCCCCACCUCUCUCAACACCAGCUCCAGGGCUCCAUCAGGAGCUCACUGUGUCCUGCCAUACCACGCAACAACUCUGAUGACAGGGCCCAAGAAUACGGCCUGUUCAUUGGAAAAGCUCGUUUCCUCUGAAUCUGAGCAAAUGCUCCCAACCAUCCCCCUGCCCCGGGUUUGAACGCGGUUCUAAUUUCCUGCAUGUCGCUCUAUAUUUCACUAUGCAUGGCUGUUUCUUGAUAGUAAUUUUAGCCAAAUUAUCCCUGAUUUAGAUACUGUUAGGCUGUCGAUGAGAUGUGUUAUCUCUCUUCUUCAUGUAUGUAAUGAGAUCGUCGUUCCACUUAAAGACUAGUCUGCCUUGCCGCGUGGCGACUCUUUGAUUCUGCUCCUCCCUCCUGACCUCAUUCUUGCCACCUCCCCAAGAGAAGAGGAGUGUGUUGAGAAUAUAAGAAGUAGAGAUACACCUUUCGCAGAGAAUGGACAGAAGAGGAGAAGAAAACAGUCACACACUGACUCGAAGAUAUGAGAUAGUUUUACAAGUGGUUAUAGAAGCCAUUUAUAGAGAAAAACGGUAGUUAUUUCUAAUACGAAAAGACGCGCGAAACCGCCGAAACGAUUCUUGCGUCAGGGCAGCCCCACACCCCGCGAGGGGGCAGCUCCCCUCUUGACCCCCCGCCAACUAACCACGUAGUUGGAUCCGCGACGCGUCCGUUGAGGAUGCUUUGAAUCAGGCCCCAUAACCAACAGAGCGUUAGAACCUCAGGGCCGCUGCCGCUGCUGUUUCCUUGUGACCAGAUUCGGAGCCCUGCGGCUGUGAGAGUUUCUGUCCUCAUAUGAGAGAGAAGACGGGAAGGGCUGUGAAGAGCUACAACCGGCCCCACACACCCUCAGUCGUACCUGUUGUGAAGGGCUGCCCCUUAAAACUCAUAGAAGAGGUCGGUGUAAGGACUGCUCCGAACGCGCCGGCAGGUAACUCCGUGCAGGUAACCAUGGAGAAGGCGAAUCAAGCUGUUGAAGUUCUUGAGAUUGAUCUCUUAUUGAGCCUUAUUGGGUUCUAAUGAGCUUUUUGGUGAAUACGCAGCCCUAAUCUUGUGUUAUAGAGGAAGGAGUGCCAUCAUAUCUGAGAGGUAGGGCGUGCGAAGAUGUGCUGCGACCAGAGAACUGUAAGAGAAGAUUAUCCUGAAGGAAGCUUUAUCUGUGUGUACCAGUGGACGUAGAAGUUUUUGCAAAGAAUAUAAAUCCAGGAUAUUCUCUGUUCUUGCCUUGUCCUCUCUCUCUCUCUCUCUCUCUCUCUCUCUCUCUCUCUCUCUCUACUCNNNNNNNNNNNNNNNNNNNNNNNNNNNNNNNNNNNNNNNNNNNNNNNNNNNNNNNNNNNNNNNNNNNNNNNNNNNNNNNNNNNNNNNNNNNNNNNNNNNNGAGAGAGAGAGAGAGGCGAACGCUCUAAUCUGGGGCUUCUGCCGGAGGUAACUCGCCGUCCAUCCUCGUUCGGUUAUCCUCUUCCCGUGUGUUGGGUUCUGGGGAAGUCGGAUGGGGAUCGAUCCAACUUCCAGCGGUCGUCAGGACUAGGAGGCUUCUCGUCAGAGCGGAAAUCGGUGUGCUCAGAUUCCGGGUACCGAUUGCUGCUGUCUAUUUUGGAGAGUUUGUUAUUGGGAAUGGGACGAUUCGGCGGGGAAAGCUAGGAAUCUGAGGGUUGGCGGGGGAAUUAACCCCUACGCCGGAUGGAUCUUUAGCUGAGAACAUUCGAUCAGUGUUGUGAAUUUCGAUCGGCAGCGCACAUGGACUGCUGUACCGGGGAUAGCCAGGGCCUUAUAGGCGUGGCUGGCGAUUUCUUUGAGGUCAAGCAGGAUUGCCGAGACGACGUCCCCAAGACCCGGUUUAAGCCGAAGGUUGGCUACCUAGAUUUUUCUCUCAUAUUUACAUUUCCCCGUUGAAAUGUUGGCAAUCGUGGUGGCAUUGCAUGUGUAGAGUCUCUCGAGGCUGAUACUUUGAGACUUUGUAUGUUGUAAUCUUUGGCAAGAUCAUCCCUACUUCAUGUUUUUGGUUGAUUGUGCAAGAGGAUCAUUGUGAUGUUUGGUACCAUAUAAAUUUCCUUCUUGAUGUAUCGAUUGCUGCGCAGAACGAGGUUCGAAAAGAAUAUAAAACUAACCUGGUUUCUCUACGAUCCAAAAUAUUGUUGAUGCAUAUGCAGAAAUACGUGGAAGAGUUCUGGCAUUGUUGCUUUAUUGAUCAUUGCAUUUACCACGGAACACUUUGAUGUCCUUGUAGGAGUGCCAGCUAUCCGGUGAAACGAAGAAUGGGUGAAACUUGAACUGAUCAUUCCCACUUCCUCCGGGAUCAAUGAGACCGUUCAUCCAGAGGAUGGACAUCAUGUCUUUGAUAAUUUAUCUCAUAUUUCUGUGCAAUUGAUUGCAUAAAAUGACGGAUUUGUCUAAAAUCUGAUAUACAUACCAAAAGGAAGUGAAAUAAUUGUAAUCUAAGUUUUUUACUAGUAGCUAUGACACGGAGCAGCCAUGGUGUGGGGUUUCAAUACGGCUUUUCUUAUUUUCUUAGCAAUUUUUACGUGUUAUCUUUAUUUACAAGCCAAUUUAUGGGUCCCCUUCGGUCACUCGAAGAUUCCCAUUACAUGUCUUUCCUAGCGUGGACUCUGUCUUGCAUCUAAUGAGAUAUUAAUUACGAAAAAUUGUGAUUGUAUUAUUUUAAAAUUUCCUUGUUUCCUAAGUUUGAUGAUUUUCCUAAAUGAGAAGUUGGCAUGAGUUGCCGUAGAAGUGAGGUUCGAUUAUCCUAGCCUGAAAUUACAGGCUAAGAAUGCUCCUUGUCAUGCCCCUUUUUCGUUCUGCACUAUUUCCUAUGUAGUUAAAAGGUUUGAUGUAGGUAAAUGGGUAUCUGAUAUAUUGUCUACCUACUUCUCAUCGAGUUUUAAUAAUUUGAAAAAAACAUCUAUCAUUAAUAAGAUAUGGUAUCAAAGCGGCUAUAUUUAUUUUUAAUUUAUCUUCCAUCGUUUUGAGUUGUAUUUGUAGUAUUCCAUAUCUUCAGUGUUUUAUCCUGGUUUUUAUUGCCAAAUUUGAAAUCAUUGCAAAACCUGUGACCGAAGCUCUAACAACAGAUCAUUAGGCUGUUGAACAUUGUAGAUGAGUGUGUGUUUGUGGUUUUGGGUUUUACAUGACAAAGUGUAACCAAGCUGGCUGGCUGACUCAGUCCAAAAACUAGACAUCUUUUAUACAACAUUCGUCUGAGUUUCAUUUAAUUGCUAGGUUGUGUAACCUUCCCAUUUGGCUUUGGAAUUUCUUGUGAUUGCCGACGACAUUAACUUUAUAUAAGUUUCGGAAGUUUAUACUUGUUUCUUCUCUCAUAAUUUUAACUAGAUGAGUUGGACGAAUGUGCUCAGGUUUUAAAGGUAUUAAAUAUUGAGAUCAGUUAGUUGUCCUCAACAUUCUUGUGUUUGCAUUNNNNNNNNNNNNNNNNNNNNNNNNNNNNNNNNNNNNNNNNNNNNNNNNNNNNNNNNNNNNNNNNNNNNNNNNNNNNNNNNNNNNNNNNNNNNNNNNNNNNUCUCUCUCUCUCUCUCUCUCUCUCUCUCUUCCUGUCGUUUGCAUUAAGUGGAUGUUUUUAAAUCUAAAUUGACGUUUUUAGGAAUAAAUAAAUAAAUAAAUAAAUAAAUAAAUAUCUAUUUACUAAAAAGUGCGGCUUUAUCCGUACGGAUUUACGAUUUUAAUAAACAAUUUUUCUUCGUUACAAAUAUUAAAGAAAACCUACGGAGGGAGUACGACAGAGAAAGAAGAGUUCGGAGAAAGGGGUCAAGGUGGGUUUGACCGGGGGGGGCUCGUUAUCGCCUCUUCGGCGUCCGAUUAGGAUUUCCCCACCUCGGAGGGCUCGUCAUCGCCUCUUCUGUGUCCACUGCCCGCCGCCGCCAUGGCGAAAAACAGCGACGACGAUCGCGUCGUCUUGGACGGGCAUGCUGACGGGAACGGCCGGGGAAUCGCAGCGCGCCGUUGCUGCACACGCCCGCCACUUGCUCGCCCUUUCCGUCCUCUUCCGCCCCUACGGCGUCUCCAUCCAUCGCCGUAUACGUCGUCAUCUUUGCUUUGCUCUUUAUCUUUUGGCGUCGUCCAUUCGUCUGCUGUCUUUGGUCGCUCUAUUCACUAAAGUGAUGACGUCUCUUGUGUACAAAGGUUGUAUUUUGAUUCCAAAAGAGUUCUUGAUAAUUUUUACUGUUUUGUAAAAAAUUCACACAAUGUAAUUAGAGGGCAUUCCAAACUCUUACAAAACAUAUAAAUGUAUCCAUCGGAAAAUCUACUAGAUUAGUAUGAAAACGGACAUUAAAUCUUGUGACACAAUAUUUUUAUAUGCCAAUAAAACAAGUCAGAAAAACUUUUCUCUGGCCGAUUUCUUAUAUCUAUUAUUGAUACCAUACUAAAUUUGGGAUGCACGUUCUAGACUGAAUAUGUAUACUCUUAUAUUAGUUGCGGUUGAUCAUCUAAGUAGAUUUGCUCAUUUUUCUUUGUUAAAACGCUUUUACAUGGCACAAGAUGUUGUCGCUAUAUUAACGAGGUAGUGGUUAAAUUAUGUGGCUUCUCACUUUUCAUGCCUUUCAAUUGCAACCGUAUCUUUAUGAACCAAUUGUGGAUAGAAAUGUUCUACUUAUAAAGUACUAUCCUUUACUGAAGCACAACUUGUCCACAAACCGAUAGAUGAAUAGAAGUUCUUAACAAAUGUCUCAAAAUAUAUUUAAUUUUUUUUGUCAAUAACCGACCACAUAGUUGGAAUCAUAGGAUUCUAUGGGUGCAACAAUUAUACAAUACAACUCACUACUAUGGGAGCUGUAUAAGGUUAAGAUCUUUCACCCCUUCUUAGGUUGGAAACUCAGCAUACCCCGGUUGCCUUGAUAGAGUAAUAAGUAUAAGAUAAGGGUAAAAUCUUGGACCAAUUAAACUAUUACCUAUCUUAUCUACUAAAUUACAUGAAAACCCAACAUAAUAAGUAUCAGUGUGAGAUUCACUUCACCAUGUUGAACAUAGUCUAAAUGGAAUUACAACCUUAUUGUUUGUGAAUUUUGACUUGAAAAUUUAAUGAAAAGCUCCCCAUAUCUUAGAGCAUAUCAGACUAGUAACUUACAUAUUAGAUCUUCCAUCAUACACCUAUAAUCACUUUGUACUAAAUGUGUCUCAACUCCAAUUAGUACUAGGUGUUAGGCAUCAUGAAGUGAGUUCAUGUGCCUCACAAAAAAAGUCAGCCAUUCAAAAAAUUCUCCACACAAAAAACACGGCUAUCAAAUUUUAAUAAAAUUAAAAAGUCUUCCAAAAUUCAAAGUUGUUUGAGAAGUAACCCUAUUAUUUCAGCACUAAUUUCUAGAUUUCAACCUUGGGGACAAAGUUACACCCUUAGGUGCGGUCAACGUACCCUUGGAAAAAGUCGUCAAUCAAAUGACCACAUAAUCCAUGAUACUUUGCCAACACUCCAACAGUAUCAAUGAAAGAUAACCGUUAGGCUCCAUGAGGCUAUUCUAUUCAGUCAGAUCUCCAAAACGAGAAGGGUAGUUUGUGGAGUUCGGAACCGCUCAAAGAGUACUCUCUCUCUCUCUCNNNNNNNNNNNNNNNNNNNNNNNNNNNNNNNNNNNNNNNNNNNNNNNNNNNNNNNNNNNNNNNNNNNNNNNNNNNNNNNNNNNNNNNNNNNNNNNNNNNNGAGAGAGAGAGAGAGAGUUCAGAAGCUGUUCAGAAGAAAAAGAAGAAAAUAACGGCAGAGUAGGAGAUUGACCACCCACUCGAGCUCAACGUCAUCGUCCUCUCUGCCGGGCAGCUUGACCUCUCUGGUGGCCAGCUUCUUCGUCAGCGCUUGCUUCAGGCCGCUGAUGAUGUCAUCGAUGGGGCGGCUGCCGCCAUCGCCAACGUCCCUGCGUACGCAGAACCGCGCGCCGGCGGCGAAUACCGCCACCGAGAGCGCCAUCACCGCCGCGGGGACGGCGAACCCGAGCUCCCACCCGUAGGUGUCCUGCACGUACGACAUGAGCGAGUUGCCCAGCAAGCUGCCGCUGCAUAUGCCGAAGUACCACCACUGGAAGAAGAGGCUCUUCUCCUCCUGUUCCAACGGGCCCCCUUCCUUCUCCAGCUGGUCCGCGCCGAACGCCUGCAGAGACGGGUUGUACCCGCCCUGCCCGAUGGAGAUGAUGUACAGCGGCAAGAACAGCGAGGAGCUCGGCAUGUGGGAGUGGAGCACCGCCCACGCCGUCAGCGCUGCGAGACCCUGCAGCGGCAAGCGAAGCUCUAUUACGAAGAGAUACAAAGGAAAGAGAGGGAGCCUCUGCCCUCACAGACAGAUCGGAGGAGAUAGACGAAGAAGCAGAGUAGACAGAAGACAGAAGGACGAAGAAGAAGAAUAUUGCUGUGUAAAAACUGUCUUCUGCAAUGUCUGACUGAUCUCGAGUCAACCCUUUGCUAUUAUUAGAUUCUCGAUCGAGCUUGGAAAUCGGAGGGCAUAUCGUCUGAUGUGGCUGACAGACAUAACGUGGUUGACCGAUUAUUUGCUGAGGUGGACGAGGCAUUAUCUCGGCUCUGAUUGGCUGGUCUGAUAUCGUUCCUUUCUUCUUGCUUUGAACAGUUGGACCGGACCAGUUUAUCUGCCGGCUCAAGUUUUCCUCUCUCAGUUAGUCUCUUAAAAUGGUGACAAACCCUAAUUCGAUAAUACCCAAAAUACCCUUUUACAUUCUAAUAAGCUUCCUUGAGAGCGUCGUAAUGGAGGAGGGAGGAGGGAAGGGGGAGCUCUCACGGUGACGUAGAGGAAGGAGGAGCCGAGAAUGGUGGAGUGGCGGUCCCAGUAGGAGUCGGCGAGGAAGGCGCCGAGCAGCGGCAGCAUGGAGGUGACGCCGCACCAGUUGUUGACGGUCUUCGCCGCCGCCGACGUGCCCAGGUGGACGACGUCCGUCAGGUAGGUCACCAUGUUGGAGGCCACUCCCUUGUACGCGAACCUCUCCACGCUCGCCACCACUGCAACCAGUAUCACAGCGAGAUCAGAUCCCCUGGUCAUCCCCGUGAUGCCCGAGAAGUAAGGAAGAGAGAGAGAAAGACAGAAAGAAGAGAGAGAGAGAGAGAGAGAGAGCGAGAGAGAGAUCUGCCCACCGAUGAUGAGGAUGCAGGACCUGUUCAGUCUCGCUGCAUGCUUCUUCCCACCCUCCUCCGCGGCCAUGGCGACGAAGAGAGGAAAGAAAGAAAACUCAGUUAGCAAGGCUCUAAGCUCAUCUUCUUCUAAAGGCCGGGCAGCUGGGAAUGAGGGCCAGCUGAGCCUUUCGACAUUGUCUCCACAUAGUCCACCAUCUUCUUCUAUCUGGCCGCUGGUGCUCCUCCCAGUCAGACUCCAUCGAGGUCCACUCGAUCGAUCUCUCCGUAGCGUCAGAUAUCCGGCCUCUAGAAAUCACUGCGCCGGAGAUAUCUGGCACCCUGGUGGAGCCUGACAAAGCCCCCGGCGGGGGGGACUGCACCACCCUGAAACCGCAUGUUCUUCGCUGGUGAGAAUAAAGAAAUGGCGACAGGGGAACAAGCGGAGGAAUGUAGACGGCUCCAAAUAGAGAGAGAGAGAGAGAGAGAGAGAGAGAGAGAGAGAGAGAGAGAGAGAGAGAGAGAGAGAGAGAGAGAGAGAGAGAGAGAGAGAGAGAGAGAGAGAGAGAGAGAGAGAGAGAGAGAGAGAGAGAGAGAGAGAGAGAGAGAGAGAGAGAGAGAGNNNNNNNNNNNNNNNNNNNNNNNNNNNNNNNNNNNNNNNNNNNNNNNNNNNNNNNNNNNNNNNNNNNNNNNNNNNNNNNNNNNNNNNNNNNNNNNNNNNNUAUAUAUAUAUAUAUAUAUAUAUAUACUCUCUCCUCCUCUCUCUCUCUCUCUCUCUCUCUCUCUCUCUCUCUCUCUCUCUCCUCCCUAUAUAUAUAUAUAUUCAUCUCCCUCCUGACCUUCCCUCUUCUUACGUUCCCCUAAAUUUUUAACCUCUAUAUUGCCUGCCAUUCUGGCUGUCCAUCGCUCAGGUGAAACUUGGGAGAUGACCAUGUUGCUUCCACUUCAUGCUUUCCCCAUAGACUUCAGCUUCCACUAACACACUUGUUUUGCUCCUCUAAAACACUUGUUCUAUUCCAAAUAAUUUUAGAGAAGCCUCAUCAUUAUGUAUUAAACUCAUAAUAAUGCAUGUCAUCUUUUGGAACCAAAGAGAAAUAUUUGUUAUAUUUUUGAGAUUAGUAAUUAUUAAAUUUUAGGUAAUUAUGUUCCUAAUUUUCAAUUAGAUGAUUUUAAGUUGGACUGGUUGAGCAUGCACCCAAGCCCCACCAUUGAAGACAUGACGUUAGAGGAUGCUAUGUCAUCUGAUCCAAUGAUCGUGCCAACUAAUGAGGCCACCCCACGUCAUCACCGUCAGACUCAAUUAAAGGAUCUGAAUUUCCUUUAUUACUAGGUUUUAUUUUCAUUCAUUUUAUUUAGAUUUCAUUCUAAUCCUCUCUUUCUUCUCAAGAGUUAUAAAUAAGCCUAAGAUUUUUAUAAACUAGUGGCUAAUCUUUGGUUAAGGAAAUUAUCAUCCCUAAGAUUGUGCCUUAGGGGAUCUGUGUGAUCGCCGCCGCUUGUAGCCACCACCAUUGCAUGGGUCCCACCCUACUUCAUGGUCAACCCACCUAUCCAUCGUUGGUCUCUGGGCAUUCCCCCAGCCAACCCUCAUGCGCCCAUCAUCGUGUUGUUGGCCUCCUAUCAAAUCAUCAGCCAUGUGUGGUGAACUUCCUUUCGUGAACGUCCAUGCAACUCAUCCUAUCUUUCUACGACCUAGUGCAUCCCACACAUAGCGGACGUGCUUGGGCCACCUGCCUUCCAUGACUGCUUCUAGCCCUUGAUGCCCACCGCACAUACAUUGCGUGCUCUUCUCCAAUCAUUUGCCGGAGUUAGAUCCGUAACGGGCUCAUCCUCCUCCAAUCAUCCUCGACGUCAACAUCUCGGUAUACAAAUGCCCAAAGUCCCCUCUCAACCCUCUCUGAUGAUUGCGUGCAUUGAUUUCAUCAUGUCUUUCCUUGUUCAUGUUUCCACUAGCAUCAAACAUAGCCAUGUGGGCUUGUGACCAACUGAGUGGACUGUGAUUUCUUUAUUUGGAGCCUAACUGAGAUUUUGAAAUGUGGAUCUUUGUUUUGUCACAAAGAUUUUAGAUAGUCCUCCCGCCCUUGACCAAGAAAUGAAAUGGUCUUCUUGCAUUCAUCAUAGUUGGCUUUAAAGGUUCGAAUUCGAUUAUGUGUGAAUUUUGUAGUUUGUUAUUUAUCCAUCAUAUUCUCAAUAUAUUUCAUUAGUGUCAAUCAUAUUCAUCCUACAUCAUGGACAAUUAUGUUCCCAGCCUCAGAAUCAAUUAUGUCCUUGUUCUAGGAUUACAACACUGUUUAUAAGCAUUGAGAAAUCAAAAGAAACAACUAGUAGAAGAACUAAAUAAUAAAAUAAAUCCGUCCUAAAUGCACCUGGACUAGUAGGAUCUCGUCCCAGUCGUGCGUUUCUAUUGGUUCAUUCUUCAUCAACACAUAUAGGGUAUCAAAAGGACCAAACCCGAAGCUACUACAGCAAUCACUAGAUGGAAUACAGAAAGGCUUAGGUUCAUAUGGAAGGGGUCCAAUAAAAGAAUGUGCCCCCCAAAUUGAUCCUACGUCGGAUUCGAGCUUUGAAUUUCCAAUCCAGACUAAAAAGACUGAAUCAUGGCCACUUUACAACUGAACUAGGAGCCAAAAGUUCGGCAAACUUCAGGAAGAACAGCACCAGCAAGCAGCCCCAACCCCUGGCUUCCAUGGCAACAACGGGGAGCUCAAAUCGGAGUAGCUGAGAUCUCGCAUGUAAAGGUUUCAGUUGCCGGGNNNNNNNNNNNNNNNNNNNNNNNNNNNNNNNNNNNNNNNNNNNNNNNNNNNNNNNNNNNNNNNNNNNNNNNNNNNNNNNNNNNNNNNNNNNNNNNNNNNNGUUUGAGGUGACUGUUCCGGAUCUUCCAAGUUCAUUGAUGUCGGCAAGUAAGGAGGAGCUGUAUCCACAUAGGGCUUAAGACAUUGGCCAUUCACUUUAAAGUUGCUUCCUGUCUUUGGAUCAAGAAUUGAGAUUGCACCAUUAGCAAAGACAUCAAUAAUAACAAAUGGUCCAUCCCAUCUAGAUUUCAACUUACCUGGAAAAAGCUUAAGUUUAGAAUUGUAGAGCCAUACCUUCUGAUUUCUCUGAAAUUUCUGGCGGUUUAAAUUCUUGUCAUGAAAGUGCUUCAUCCUGGUUUUAUAAAUGCUAGAGUUUUCAUAAGCCUCGUCCCUUAGUUCUUGGAGUUCAUGCAUCUGCAAGAGGCGAUUCUUCCCAGCUGCAUCUAAAGAAAGGUUAAGCUUCUUGAUGGCCCAAAAUGCUUUGUGUUCAAUUUCUACCGGAAGAUGAUAGGCCUUACCAAAAACUAGCCUAUAUGGGGACAUCCCCAAGGGUGUUUUAUAGGCAGUCCUAUAGGCCCAUAGAGCAUCAUAGAGGUGGCUUGACCAAUCCUUUCCAUCAGGCCUAAUAAUCUUCUUGAUUAUUUUCUUAAUCUCCCUAUUAGCUACCUCUAUUUGGCCAUUAGCUUGGGGGUGAUAGGGAGUAGUUAUCCUAUGCUGCACUCCAUUUUUCUUCAACAAGGACUGAAAGUGAUAAUUGUUAAAAUGACUCCCUCCAUCACUAAUAAUCGCUCUUGGGCAGCCAAACCUAGAGAAAAUAUUUUGUUGAAUGAAUUUCAGUACUACCUUAUGAUCAUUGGAUCUAGUAGGGAUUGCCUCUACCCAUCUAGACAUAUAAUCCACUGCCAUAAGAAUAUAUUCAUACCCAUCAGAAUUUGGCAAGGGGCCCAUGAAAUCUAUUCCCCAAAGAUCAAAAAUUUCUACCUCAAUGAUAGGCUGCAGUGGCAUGCGAUGUGUCUUCUUCAUAUUCACUGCAGCUUGACAUUUUAAGUAAGUAGAAUAGUACUUAAAGCAUCACGAAAUAAUGUGGGCAAAAAGAACCCACAUUGCAAAACUUUAAAAGCAGUAAUCUUAGUUGAAUAAUGUCCUCCACAGAAGGAAGAAUGGCAGGAGUCUAAUAUACUCCAUUGUUCUUCCUCUGGCACACAUCUUCUAAAAAUAUGGUCAACCCCUCGGUGGAAUAAUUGAGGCUCAUCAUAAAAAUAAAAAGGGAUAUCUUUGUAAAACUUUUUCCUAUCAUUGUAGUUCCACUCAUCUGGUAAUAGACCUGUCACAAGAUAAUUUACUAUGUGUGCAUAUCAUGGUAGGUUCGUUACUUUAACUUCUAGGAUUUGUUCAUCAGGAAAUGCAUCCAGAACAGGGGUAGAUAAUUCAUUAGAUAGUCGAGAGAGAUGAUCUGCUACUACAUUAUCUACCCCACGUCUGUCCUUGAUUUCUAAAUCAAACUCUUGCAUUAAUAAAAUCCACCUCAUAAGUCGUGGUUUUGUUUCUUGUUUUGUAAGCAAAAAUUUCAAAGCAGAAUGGUUAGAAAAUAUAACUAUUUUACUACCUAACAAAUAAGAACGAAAUUUCUCCAAAGCAAAAAUGAUAGCAAACAAUUCCUUUUCAGUGGUGGAAUAAUUCACCUGAGCUUCUCCUAAGGUUUUGCUAGCGUAAUAGACAACCACUGGCUUCUUGUUGACCCGUUGACCCAAAACUGCUCCAACUACAAAAUCUGAAGCAUCGCACAUCAGCUCAAAAGGAAGACUCCAAUUAGGGGCCUGCAAGAUUGGAGCUUGGAUAAGAGCUUCCUUGAGCUGUAGAAAAGAUUUAUGCGCAUCUUCAUUUAAAAUAAAGUCAGUGUGUUUAGAAAGUAAAUGUGUCAAGGGUUUGGAGAUUGUAGCAAAGUCCUUAAUAAAUCUCCUAUAGAAGCCAGCAUGCCCCAAAAAUCCUCUAAGUUGUUUGAUGGUGGUGGGUUGAGGUAGGCUCUUGAUCACUUCGAUCUUGGCCUUGUCCACCAUUAGCCCAUCCUUGCUGAUAUGGUAUCCCAAAAUNNNNNNNNNNNNNNNNNNNNNNNNNNNNNNNNNNNNNNNNNNNNNNNNNNNNNNNNNNNNNNNNNNNNNNNNNNNNNNNNNNNNNNNNNNNNNNNNNNNNUUCAAUUUUACGGCAUGCAGAACGUUUGACCUAUAGAACUAAUCUUCAUAGGAGUUGGCAAGCAUGGCCGUUGAGAAGGAUAUCAGCCCAUCAUGUUGUGACAUUACUUGGACAUAUUGAUUACUACCAAUCUAAGGACACCCUUAACUCAACAACAAGCUCUUUGCUUUAUUUAUGAAGUGCAUUUUUGUGAUAUUGAUAGCCCAACCACCGCACAAACUUUCACUAACUUAUUUUCAAAUACCCCAGAUAGGAGACACAAACGCAGUGUGAGUGUAGAACAGAUUAAUGAAUAUUUUUCUGUGUUCCUAUCAGCUUUGAUGAUUACUCCUCUAAUAUUUAUAUAGAAAAACAGAUAGCAUACACAAAUAUGGCUAAUUUAACUUGCCAUACAGAAUAAGAGCCAAAAUUUGACACGUGCAGGUCUGCAUAGAUGAUUUCCCUAAAUAUAAAGGUUCAUCUAUAUAUUUCUUGGUCAUCUCACCUUCGUUCUGAAUGGCUUUCCUUCUCAAGCGAAACCGUGUAAUACCCAAGGUCAGAAACACCACCAGUAUUAUUGAAGCAAUACCAAUUCCAAUGAUAGCACCAACUGAAAAUUUUUCCUUGGACACAGGAGGAUCGAAAUCUACAAUGCAGAAAAGUAAUUAGAAUAAACCAACCAGAUGAUAAAGGGAGAGCGGAAAACAUCUCCAUGAACAUACCCGGUGUUACCGAAAUCGCCGAUAUAAGAGGCCCGUAGACACCAUCAUAUGGAAUGUUAUUCGUCCCUUUGCCAGACCACGUGAAAUGGAUCUCCAAAGUGCUGCCUUCUACAAGAGCAGUAAAAUUCCUGGUAACUUCCUCACCAAUGCCACCAGCUGCUUCUACGAUGUUAAAAUCUCUUAGCACCUUAUUCCCCUGUUUUAAUGUAGAGAGUUUUAGCUGCUGGGUCAGCACACGACUUGGUUAAGUGCGUAUAGACAAAGCCCCCUAAAGUAGAGAAGCCAGACAAAUUAAAAUGUAGGAAGACAGAGACAUCAACUAUAGUAUAAUACACAACUACUCCCAUAAAGACACUGACGAAAAGAAAAAAAGGGAAUAUCUGGAUACCAACAAACAUCAUUCAAACCUGUUGGAAAAAGAAUUCUCGUUAUCAGAAUCGAUAUGAUGUAUCCCAGCAACGAAGACAGUCAGCGGUGACAACAUCAUGAAUGAAGAAAAGAGCAAUACUAAGCUAUACAUAUUCAUCAAGAAUGUAAGUUCAAGGAAACCAAAUGACCUGGAUUGAUACAUCAAACGCACGCCUUCCAAGACUCCCAAAUAUCGGGUCAGAGGUGAAAACUAUUUCAGCAAAGUGCAGUUUGACUGUAUAAUUUCCCUCUUGCAAGCACAGGCCGUAGUAUUUGAGAGAAAGAGGGCUCAAACGAGCAGUUUUGUACAAUUCUGCAUUGAGCAUUGUCAAUACUGAUGUGUUUUCUGCUACAAAUGCUGUGCUGUCACUUCUCCCACUAAAGUAUCCGGUACUGCUAUAAGCCCACUUUUUACUGGGAGAAAGAUAAUAGUUGGAUAUGCCCUCCAAUGAUGCGUCACGUUCAUAUGUAUUCCCGUCUACAGUGACACUUUCACCUCCACAGUUUAUGAAAAGAUUAUAGUCUGCAUAAAUUCCGAAAAGCCAAAUAAAAAAAUAAUCAGGAGAAAUUCAUGUCCGUGAGUCACGCUUUCAAAUCUUAAGGUUGUUUUCCUCCAACCCCGCAAAAGAAAAAAUCCAACUGAAAAGGAACAGAAGCUGUCCCGGAGAAAGGAGAUUUAUACCCACUUGUAGGUGUGCCAUCACAGGGGAGGUCCUUUCUUAAACACGACAGUAUCCUACGAAGGUCAAACGUAGAGAGUGAAUGAUUUAGACAAUUGAUCUAUCCAUAAUGUACAUUUCAAAAAUGUCAGAAACCUACGAGUCAUCUGUUGUCGAAGAAAAGCUGGCAACAUAGUUCCUGCAAAUUAUAAGAACCUUAUUUAAUUCCAGAAACAAGAAGCCAAUUCCAUACGUCCGACCNNNNNNNNNNNNNNNNNNNNNNNNNNNNNNNNNNNNNNNNNNNNNNNNNNNNNNNNNNNNNNNNNNNNNNNNNNNNNNNNNNNNNNNNNNNNNNNNNNNNAGAGAGAGAGAGAGAGAGAGAGAGAGAGAGAGAGAGAGAGAGAGAGAGAGAGAGAGAGAGAGAGAAGGUGGACAGGUCGAUAGAGAGACAGCGCGAGCGAGCAAAAGAGUCAGACAUGUAGAGAGAAGGUAGACAUGCCGAUAGAAAGACCGCGUGAGCGAGCGACGGAGAGUCAUAGAUAGAGAGAGAUAAGGUGAACAGGCAGAUUCGGGGAACAACGUGAGCGAGCAAUAGAGGGAUACGCAGACAGACACAGAGAUAACCUAGACACACCAACAGAACGCGAGAGAGCGAGCGAGAGAGAGAGAGAGUACGAGAGUAAUAAAAAGUCCUCAUAUCAGCGCCGCCGAUCUCCACGCGAGGACGUCGGGCAACAGCAGAGGGCUUGAACCCGCUGCCGUUGACGACAACCUUAUUGCAGUAGUCCACCCUGAGGGAGACAGACCUGGUGAAGGGAUGCAACACAUCACCGACCACCCGGCUUUGGCAAAGGGGAUCCUGCGGCGUCAUCUCCCCGCUCCUAGUGCUACCGCCACUCCUUCCGCUCCCAGUGCUUCCCAUCUUGUGAAGCGUCUGAGGCAACCCGGGGGGAAGGGUGGUGAGUUCAUGGCGAGAGAGGAAGGGAAGCACUGAGCCUGCUAUAUACUCCGCAGCCCACGGUUUCAACGGACGCGUGACACCAAAGCGGGUUAAGUAGAAUAUACGACGCCAUACAUGUUAUGAGGGCCUCCAAUUCCUAGGAGCUAUCCUCCGUUGAAAAAUUCAGGUCGCCCUGGGAACUUUCUAGCAUGACAACCAUUACCUUAUCGUCCUCUCUUUUUCCUUUUCCUCUCUUUGCUUGAAUUUUAUUAGAAUGAUUGGCAUACUGUAAUUCCGACGCCUGUCUAAAUUUGAGAAUUCGCCUUAUAUUCUGAAUAAGUUUGCAUAUUCUCGGGUGGCUUUUUGACGGCGGGCGCGCGUUAUCACUCUAAAAGCUUCUUCUUUCCGACUUUUAUUCCUGUAUAUGGAAAAACAUUCGAGGCCUGGGAGCUCACAUCUGACCCCUUAAAAAGCAGACCCUGACAGGGAAACAGAGACAGAGAAGUCUGGAGAGGUGGCCCAACCGGCCCACUACUCCGACAGACUUGCAGGCCCCAUCCGUGUCUUCAUGUGCUAAUCUCACGCAAAGUAAGGAACGAACCUUCUAGCUCUUCUCAGUCCGCAUCCUCUUCUCAACCGUUGAUAUGUCGAAUUCUGGCAAGGAUCAUAGCGUAGGUUGGGAAAACACGCACCCUCCCUUCCCCGGUGACUGUGGGUCGGCGUGCUGGGGCAUCCUCCUUUCGGAGGCCAUCGUGACGACGGCGGUGACCUACGUGCCCACGUCGGCCGUGAUACUACAUGAAACGUCAGGCGCCAGCCAUGGAGCAGACUUUCCCGGAGGGGACCUCCUACAGAGGAGAAUCCAACCCACUGGGUAGAGUUGGACUGUCAAUGGCGUGGCCCCCUGAUCCGAAGAAAGCCCCCAGCCGGAGGACUGAGAGGACUGCAGAGGGUGGGUAUCGCCUUUAUGUGAAAGAUUCGCCGGCCAAUAAUUCUGCCAGUGGCUUCGGGGGACUUCCAGCCACCAUGCGAAGCGCGGCCUCGAUUUCUCCCGGAGGAGAUGACAGAGACGGGAGAACGAAAGCCACUGCUUUUGGUGGCGAGGUGGGAAGUAUUGCUUCAUGUCUUUCAACUGUCGGGGGUUGGUCCGAGGGUCGGCUUUUACACGUGACACCGGCCAAUCAUAUUUUUAGACUAUUUUUUUAUUUCACCAUCAAAGAGGCGGACUCACUCUCUCCAAUACCUCUGGCCAUUUUCCAAUUUUAGGCAAGCCCCCUGUUGAUUCUCCUGUUUAUUUAAGAAACAGUAACGUCUGGAAGGGUCCCUGAGAACAUUUGUGGAGCAGGUUUACUAAUCUCUCUCUCUCUCUCUCUCUCUCUCUCUCUCUCUCUCUCUCUCUCUCUCUCUCUCUCUCUCUCUCUCUCUCUCUCUCUCUCUCUCUCUCNNNNNNNNNNNNNNNNNNNNNNNNNNNNNNNNNNNNNNNNNNNNNNNNNNNNNNNNNNNNNNNNNNNNNNNNNNNNNNNNNNNNNNNNNNNNNNNNNNNNGUUUCCUAGGUCUAAAGGCUUUAUAAAAUAAUCAUUGAUAAGGCGGAUCACCGCCGUUCGAGGGUGGGAUCAAAUAUAUGAAUUAUUUUUAAAUAAAAUCUUUCAUCACACCAUCCAAUAUGGUGUUGUGAACAAAUUUGCGCAGAAAUUAUUUGGAAAAUUAUUGUUCCUCAGAUCAGCUAACAAUAGUUAGCAACCAAGAGACCAUGCAAAUCGCACCUAGUGACUUGCCUCCAUUGAGUACGAAGCACCCGCACUGAAUUGGUUGACCCUGUUCCAAAGUUAUUGGCACAGUGAUUUUUUAAUCUGGUGAAGGUUUGGAACAGGGUCAACCAAUUCAGUGCGGGUGCUUCGUAAUCUGAUGAAGAUUCUCCGAUGAGUAGGCAUGUGAAAGUUGCGUGGAACCCAGCUGGUAAAUCUGGCAAAAUUGGUCCACGCGUUCAUCAACCAAGUAAUUCUCCUUUAUAUAUACACGCCAAUAAUUAUUCAAUCAAAUUAAGGCACGAGUAUGUUUCAAGCAAUGCAUAUUUCGUAUGUUCUAAGAGAUGCGUAUCCCAAAAUGAGAGCCCCUCUCCACCGUCCGGUCCGCCAUCUUGCCGAUGUCCCCCCUAUUCCCAAAAAGAGGCCUUGUUUCAUGGCUUCUGGGACCUGUGGUGGCCCAGCGGAGACCUCAAAAUUCGUCUCUUUUUCGUCCAUAGCGUGUCUAUAAAUCGAGCCUUCUGUCCCCCUUUCUCCUCGGCCUUCCUUCUUCCUCAGGCCAUGGAGUUGUUGCAGGGCUGCGGCGGCCUUGAGCGGAGAAGGGCGUUUCCUGUAAAACCUCUCCCCCUCUUCGCUAUGAGAGCUCUGACUUGAGGUUAUUCUCAAAGAAGAUGAGUUCCUCAUCCCCGCUGAUAUUUCUGGGUUCGGCUUUCAUGCACAGGCGGCGGCGCUUCUGCUGCUGCUGCUGUCUGCCGGUUCUCUCAGCACGGGGGAAUGCAGGAGGAAGGGGAGCAGCGGCGGCGGCGGGGGGAGCAGCAGGCGGAGGAUCGGCCCGCCGGCGAGGACGGGGGACGGGGGAUACGAAGGGUCGCCGUUUGUCUACAGGACGAUGACGUGUUGCAGGGCGGUGACGGUGGCGCUGCCGGAGUUCGGCGGCGUCGGCGACGGGGUCACCUCCAACACGAGGGCCUUCCAGUCGGCGGUGGCUCACCUGGCCCAGGUGGCGCCCUGCUCCAGCGGCGGCGGCCAGUUGUACGUCCCCCCCGGGCGGUGGCUCACGGGGAGCUUCAACCUCACUAGUUGCUUCACACUCUACCUACACCGAGACGCCGUCAUCCUCGGCUCCCAGGUCGGUCCCCCCGUCCUCUCUCUCUCUCUCUCUCUAAAACUCUAGUCUCGUGACUUUCUUCGUUGAUCUCGUUCCUCCCACACGCCGGAUUGAUGGCGAGAGAAGAGAGCCACAACAGGAAACGUCGAUUCUCCAAAAAUUAGGUGAAACAGACAAAAAACGCAAUCGAGGAGGUCCCUUUCAGUCGAUUCAGCUCCACCUGUUCUUCAUACUCAGUAACGCAUUUUCAGUGUGACACAUCAAAUUCAAGGCUACCGAAGAUCCGUGCUUCUCAGUUAGAGAGAGAAAACCCCGGAAUUCAUUUAGUCUCCUGUUGGUACAGUUCCCUUUGAAAUGUCCUCUACUUUAGAGAGAGAGUUGAAUUUCCUUACAAUUCGGAUUCACCAGUUUUCUUAAAAUAAACUCACAGAUCCCUCUCUCUUCUCUCUCACACAACCCCCUCAAGAAUCGAACAUAGUCACUACCCUUUAAUCAUCUUCUAAUUAGACCUAAAAUCGAAGUUUACUGAUCCUCUUACAAGUCGACCUCUCUAGUUUCCUUCCUUUAUCUCUCUAGACCCAUCUCUCUAUCUCUCUAUCUCAAGAGUUGGAUUAAGACCCCGGUAACCUUUAAAACUAGCGAGAGAAAUUGAGUUCAGAUGCUUGGUUGGUACAUAUCCUAUUCAUCUUUCUCUCUAUCUAUCUCUCUCUCUCUCUCNNNNNNNNNNNNNNNNNNNNNNNNNNNNNNNNNNNNNNNNNNNNNNNNNNNNNNNNNNNNNNNNNNNNNNNNNNNNNNNNNNNNNNNNNNNNNNNNNNNNAUUUGUAUCAAGUUUGGAGAAUUGUGAGAUGGAGAAUCUUGAUCUCCAUCACUUACCCUUAUCAACGACGACAAUAGUACCGAAGGUCCAAGCAGGCCCAUUUUGUUGCCACGGCACACCCUAAUAUAUGGUUUGAGACUCUAGAUAGUAUUAUCACAAUGGAAGGUUUAUGUGUAGCAUUUCAGUGUGUGAGAAAUAAUUACCUUUCAAGAAAGCCUGGAGGCAGGUAAGAGACCACAGAAACUGCGGCAGUAGAUGAAAAAGGAUUCUCUCACAUGACGUCUCAAACCAUGUCAACUUGUGCCUUAGGCUAUAGAUGGGUGUAAUCCUGAAAAGUCAACUCGACAUAGCACUUGAUGAAGAGAAUGUAGGAAGAAGAGGAGAGAUAGUGAAAGAAAGAUGUUCUUGAUUGAUUCAAAAUAUCUGUGUACAUUCCCUCUUAUGGGGGUCCAUGGCCCACAUCUCCACCAAUCUAACCAUAUGUCAGGCACAACGCUGAUAGCUAUUAUCGCACACUGCAACCAAAGCAUAGAUCUUGAUAAUGUGAAUGCAGAGCGGAGGAAUCGUAAUGGUUUCAUCCAUCAUUACAUGUAAAUAUUGAUUAUUGUGGUGCAUGCUGAUAAUAUCUCAUUUUUUAGAUGUAAUGUGAGUUAAAAUAAGAAAAUAUUGCAUGAAUUUCAUGAAAAUAAAUUAUAAUUAUUGAAUAAAAUGUUUUUAAGCAUUUUUCAUAUUUUUUCGUGAAUUUUGGUUAAUUUUGAUGAUUUAUUUCAGAUUAAAAUGAAUUACUUACUAUUUUCUGAAAUAAAUAAUUUAUUAGGCAUAAUUAUAUAAUUUCCGCUUGAUCCGACAUCCCUGAACGUGCCAUGUCACCCUUUUUCGGCGGUGAAUCAGUGGGCUUAUAUCACGCUAAUAUUUUGUGAUUUUUCAGAAUGUGCCACGUAUCCCCAGAAGUAAACUAAUCGGAAGGCGGAGAACACGUCGCGUAACUAGUGUACUUAAGUCACGGAGGAGCAUAUCAACAAUUAUCUAUUAUUGUCAGAUACAAAUGCGAUUAUUGAUUAUCGCCGGCGAAAUAAAAAGGGUGGAGGUUCUCCGGCGACAUUCAUUCCGUCUUCUCCCUCCUCUGCACGGUCAGAGCCUCCGACGACUGGUGAACCCUCCUCCUUACUCCCUCGGCUGCACCCAGAGCCUCCGGCGGGUGGCCACAAGUCUUCUCCUUUACCCUAGAUGGUGGUGACAGUGGCGUUGAACCCUUCUCUCCACAGAAUCCUUCCGGCGAGCAGUGCAGAGCCGCCGGACGAUAUUCAUGUGCCUUCUGGCGUGGCACGACACGACCGGACGAUACAAAGCCGUCGCACCAGCGUCUCUUGCUGUUCCAAAGGCAGACCAUCAAAGGACAGCCUUAGUUUUAGAUUUAUUUUCUAUUUUAUUUAGUUUUUGUCACAAACGAUAAUUUCCGGACAUUCGCUGGAAAUAAUCGGAAGAAUACACGAUUCACUUGAUAAAAAGGACUUCUUUCUAUCUCAAACCUUCCGAAACUCGUCGAGAAUCAUCCAGGGAGUGAUUUUGAAUCGUUUUCCAUCGAUUUCAAUCGAGAAAUCCAGCUGAAAUUCCUUGCCAUUUUUCUACUGAGCGGAAUGAUUUUCCAGCGAUUUUCCAGUGAUUUCUCUCCGAUUAAUAAGUUGUUUGUUGAUUUAAUGGUUACAUUUUAACCGUAUACUCCUUCUUAAUCGGUGCGAAACUGAUUCGGGCAUUUUCGGUGUGAUUUCACAUCUUUUUCGCGAAUUCCCUCUCACGUAUUUGUCCGGAAAUCGUGGUCAAUGUAGGCGCAAGACGUGUUGACUACAAUUUUCUCUCUCCUAAUUAUCAUCUAUUUUCUUUUCUUCCUCUUCUCCUCCACCUAAAAAUUCAUCUAAAUCCCUUCUUAACCCCGUUUCUAUCUCCCAAAAAUUUGUCCAAAAGUCCCUUCGAAAUCCCACGUCUAUCUCCCAAAAUUUCUUCCUCUAAUCCCUUCUAAAUCCCACNNNNNNNNNNNNNNNNNNNNNNNNNNNNNNNNNNNNNNNNNNNNNNNNNNNNNNNNNNNNNNNNNNNNNNNNNNNNNNNNNNNNNNNNNNNNNNNNNNNNGAGAGAGAGAGAGAGAGGACCAUUUCUGGGUUUUCCCCUCGGCCCGGCCCUAACCGGCAGCAGUUCCCCCGUUUACACACAUUAUUUAUAUAAUUUUGGGUAAUAAAUACGAUGAUGCCAAGGUCAACUCAUUUGAAUGCCACCUAGAGCAACCAUUAUUCUUCUCUACUUAUGAAAAGACGGCAAUUCACUCACCAACUAAAGUUUUAAACUCUCAACCAACCAAAGUUAUUGGAAGGGGGGAGAAUCCCGACGAAAGGAACUCAUAUAUUUUAUUAUUUACAUUAUUUUAUAAAUUGGUCUACCAGCUGCUUCAGUGGGUCCGACCCUGGUUGGGUCUUAGGAAUAAAGAAGAAGCCCGGUCUUCAUCAAGCCCGCUGUUAAAGAAUGACCUGCGAUCAUAAAAAAGCCCCGAAAUAUCAACGUAGGGUCGGGCCCACGUAAAUUACUUGGUGAUAGAGAGAGAAUGUGCCUAGAGGAAUGCUGAGCCGCUGGAUUCAAACACAUCAACGGUCAAGAUGAAUCCGACUGGCGAACUGAGUGGCUGAUGGCGAGGUCGAGAGGCAUCAAUGGAAGGAGAUGCUCUACAGGAGCUUACGCGCUUGUGCUGCCUCUCAAAGGCCGUGCCAUCGCUGUGGACGGGGUCCUCGCAGCAGUCGGUAGCCUCCAGCUACGCUCAAAAGCAUAAUCGAGGAAUAUAGUCUUCUCAAAUGGUUGACCAAAGUCAAGACCCAUGAGCGUUGACCGAUACAAGCGGGCCCCAAUGCUCAGGAAUCUGGUUAGAUAGUGCCCGCUGGGUCAAACCACGCGCUUCUACAACUCCCAACAAAGGAUUAGGGUUCAUAAUAUCUACCCAUUGUUGCCGCUUCCAUUGCUUGCCCACAUCUUGACCUGAGGAGGGCUCUGAUUGGCUCGGUUUGACCGAGCCAAUCGGAGCUGCCCAAAUCUUGGACUUUAAAGGACGAGGGUUCUACAAAUGGGAGAGGGUAGAGGUUCUAUCAGAGCCCAUCCAUGAGUGACGCAGCAGUGACGUGGAAGAUAAACAAGAUUUGGGCUUGAAUCUACAAAGCUCUAAUCUUGGAGAAGAAACCAACCUCUGAAUCCACAGAUUCGGAGUCUCCAACCCUUGAGUCCACAAGGGGGUGCCUGAAUCCACAAGCAAAGGACAGGUUCUCACAAGGGAGAAAACUGAUUCAACUAAAAAAGGUAAGUCCCUCAGGUUACAAUAGGGGCCUUUAUAUAGGCCUAGAAAGGGGGUGGGGGCGCUCAUAAAAGGAGGAUCCUGACAGAUCCUGAGGACAGACUCUGACUAACACUGAAAUGACUUAAAGCAGACUAUGAUAGAUUGAGAUCUUGAACAAAUCCUUUGAAAAUACUUCGAAGUGACAUAAAGCAAGCUCUGACAAGUAGAUAUACUAAGUAGAUCUUAGGUACAGACUCUGACAGUCUGAUAUCCUAAGCAUAUCUUGGGUACAGACUGAACCCCAUUAAAGUCCCUUCUAGAAGGAAGGAGACAUAAAGUGCCUUUUAGAAGUGAAAGGACAUAAAGUAAAAAGUAAGUAUUACUUUUCAGACCUCCAACCCACUAGUGACAUAUGUGGGCUCCCUCUUUACUAUUUUUCACUUUAUGGCCCAAAUUUAGGGUAAUUGGGCCCAACUUCGAAGUUAGGACUUCAACUGGUGUCUUGGGCUACAUCAGUCUCUCCUUCUUCAAGAAAACUCGUCCUCGAGUCUUCAUUUGAAUAUUCAUAAUAUUCGUAUAUGUCACUGACAUUAAAUGUGGGUGAAAUAGUCAUAUUUGGUGGGAGCUCAAUAAGGUAUGCAUUAUCAUUGAUCUUCUGUAGAACUUGAUACGGUCCAUAUUUCUUUGGCUUCAACUUGUUAUAGCUACCUACUGGAAAUCGUUCUUCGCGAAGGUACACCAUUACUUUGUCGCCAACUUCAAAUAUCUUCUUUCUUCUUUUCUUAUCUGCUGCUAUUUUAUAUUUGUCAUAAUUUGUUGUGAGAUUGUGUAUCACAUUUUNNNNNNNNNNNNNNNNNNNNNNNNNNNNNNNNNNNNNNNNNNNNNNNNNNNNNNNNNNNNNNNNNNNNNNNNNNNNNNNNNNNNNNNNNNNNNNNNNNNNAGAGAGAGAGAGAGAGAGAGAGAGAGAGAGAGAGAGAGAGAGGCGACAGUGACAUCAAAACAGAUUUCUAAUAAAGGAAAAGUUUACAGGGACUUUACAGAGACUCUGGGGACUGAUGGCCAAUUCAGGGGGUGGAGCACAGAAGAAAUAUGACAUGGCAUAUAGUGUCGGUCAACGCUGUCAUCGUGUCAACCCCGGGUCGUGCUUCUUCCUCCUGCAUCUGUGGUGGACCUUCUGCUCAGAGAAGCUGCUCUCCCCCCUAAUCUUCAUCCCCCCACCGUCACUAUCACCUUCAAGAACACACACACCAGAUCGGCAUCUCUUCCAAAAAUAGUAAAUACAGAGCAUUCAUGGAGUUUUUCAAAGGUCAGCGUAAAACGGCAACGAAACUAUGAACAAUAUUUCUAAGUGCUCCCAUGGUCAACCUUUCGGGAAUUGGAUGAGGCAUUUGGAUCUCAUCUCUCAACUGGAAACUUCAGAUAUGGUCAACCCCGAACUAUCUAAACGGGGAAAGGCUGGUUGACUGCACUAGCUUAUUUAUGAAGCAAAGAAAUACGCAUAUAUGGAAUAAAAAGAACAAGGAUGAUGGAUCAUCUUGCGGUUCAAGGUUCUGCAAAACCCCACUUGAAAAGUCAAAUCCAGGCGGAUGAAUUUACGCGGUCAACUAUGAUCCCACAAACCUCCCUCCUUUCUCUGGCUUCAAAUCCCCCAAUGGAAAAAAAAGGCCUCCUAAUUUUUCAUCACGCACAUUGAGUAAACAAUAUAGCCGAAUUAAAAACAAAGAGAAAGAUUACGGUCUUUUUCUUAUUGCACUUGGAUUCCGAGCAACCCUCAAUUAUCCCCAAGAAUUCAUUGCUAGCCCGCUGAAUCAUUCUUCCUCCUCAAAUGACGGGGUUGGUCUCUUGUGUUCAAGGUGGUAGGAUGACUUCACCAGAACCAGAUUCUGAAGAAGUAAUGAUAAGAAAUAUAUCUCAUAAAAAGCACAGAUUGAAGGAUCAAAUCCAACAGUAAGCGGCUCGUGGGGUUCCCCCUGUUCAUCUCUGUGAGUUUCUCUACCUUCUCAUGAUCUUCACUCAUGAAAUCCAACAAAUGUUUUAUGGAAAAUUGAUGAACAAGAAGAUUCAGUUUGAACAGCUGAAAAUCUAGGUUUCGUCCAUGGCGCACUGAGAACACGAAUAUGAUGCACCAUGAAAAAGAUGAGUGAAUAGCUCGAAUAUACCUCCAAACUGAUCUCCCCAGAACAGCAGCCGUCCAUCGUCCUCUUCCUCGUCAAACUCGUCCCCAUAGCCAAGCUCAACAUCUCCUCUGUAACCCGUCUCGCUGCCAUAACCGGAUUCGUUCCACUGUAAAUCGAGAACACCGAGGCCGCCCUGGUGAGGAGCGGUAGUCGAAGCCUCCCGAUCCAUCCCCCCUCCACCGCUCCCGGCAUCCUUGAUAUCCCUCCUUGAGAUCCUCACGUCGCUGACAUCCGAACCCCAGUUCCCAUCUCCGUUCACGAACAGCUCGCCGCUCGAGUCCGUGCCCCCAGCGGCGACGGGGAAAUCGGAGCACGUCGCGUAGGCCCCGGACGCACCCCCUCCUCCGACCGAGCGGCACCGGCGGCAGGUCCCACUCCGGUCGCUGCUCCGACCGGAGACGGAGCGGGAACCGCCCCUUUGCCGCCGUCGCUUCCUCGCGAACCAGCCGAUUCCCUCUUCCCGGUGCCUCUGCUGCUGCUGCGGCGGCGGAGGGGGAUCGUCGAGGAGGGAUAGCCUGGAGAAAUCGAGCGGAUCGCCGAGGUUGGGGGCGGUGGAUCGAUCGGACCUGCACGGCUUCUUGGUGAGGAUUGCCCUAGACGAUUCCAGAUGGUGCCCCGGGCUCUGCGGCUGGAACGGCUUCCAGGCGUGCAGCUGCAGAGUGCAAGAUUCCAAGGCGUGGCGAGAGGAACCCACCGUCCUCGUCGGCGUCAUUCUCCCUCCACCAUUGCCAGACUCCCCACUUCUCUCUCUCUCUCUCUCUCUCUCUGUCUCUCUCUUCUCUCNNNNNNNNNNNNNNNNNNNNNNNNNNNNNNNNNNNNNNNNNNNNNNNNNNNNNNNNNNNNNNNNNNNNNNNNNNNNNNNNNNNNNNNNNNNNNNNNNNNNAGAGAGAGAGAGAGAGAGAGAGAGAGAGAGAUAAGCGUAAGACAGUGCCACCGACUCUCAUGAAACCAAUGGAGUGUGCUAUGAUGCAGGUUGAACCGUCAGUUUUUCAUUGGGUUCGGAAGUCGAAGGUCCUUUUUUCGCCACGUGGCUCACAUCUCCCUCUCUCUCUCUCUCUGUCUCUGUCUAUGUCUGGGUCUCAUAAUGGAGUACAGAUGGCGAAUAUAGGAGAGAAGAUCCAGUCUGAGUCUUACAGCAAGCUGCCAAGUGAAACUGUUUGACUUUCUAGCCUAGGUUGUUUCAUUUAGUGAAUUAUAAGGAAUUUUUUAUCUAUCGAUGAUCGGGUCUCUAGAUUUCUCUCCCCUAAAGAAGAAAAAAUAAAGAGGAUGGGGGAGGAUAAUCGGGCGUUGGAGGUGCAGUGAGACCUAGUAAACUGCCAGCUGCUCACCUUGAUUUUCCUGCCGAAGUUCCUCUUCGUCUUCUUCUUCCUGUACCUGGAGAGCUUCUGCCGCCGGUCCUCCUCCCCGACGCUCAGCAGCCUCUCGAAGGGAAGGUGAAUGGUGCUCCCGCUGAAGCUCGUCCCGCCGCCAUUGCUGUACGUCUUUCGACGAGAGAAGACCCACAUCGAUUCAUUCCUUCCCGGAAGCUACGGUUGAUUAGAGAGAGAGAGAGAGAGAGAGAGAGAGAGAGAGAGAGGAGCAAUAAUCUGAGUGCAGUUCUCACCUGAAGAUCUCCUUCACUGCACGCCCUCCGCAUCACAAGAACAUCUCCGGGAAUAAUUCCCUUGGCGGCGCAGAGAUUUGGCCCCGCCGAGCUUCCACUGACCCGGGUCGACGACUCCAAGCUCCCGAAGCUGACGCUCUUCUUGAUUCCUUCAUCGCCCGUGGGUUUCUCCUCCUCCUCCCUCGUCGGAAAACCCGCCAGCUGGGAGGACUCGUAGAAGGCGUCGAUCAACAGCUGCUCGUUCUGAAUGGGAUCGACGUCCGGGACCUCGAAGGGGUUCGCGGAGAUGACGGCGUCGCCGUUGGAGAUCAUCCACAUAGCCGCCGCCACGGGGUCGAGCUCCAUCGCCGGCUCCUCCACGAUGGGCUCCGGCGCUUUGAAGAGGUCCCCCUCCCCGCCCAGGUCGUAGUCGGAGACGGUCGCUGUCUUCACCAUGUUUCUCUGUGCAGGAAGGCGAUGAACACCCCAUUAAAUAUCUCUCACUCUGUGCGCUUCGUCACCCCCUGUCAACAUCUCUGGACACGGAGGCCAAGAGAGAAUCUCGUCAUGAAGUACCGCAGAAAACUAAAACUAAUGGCGGCGGCGUCUUCGGGAGCUUUGGCAGGGCCGACGGGGGCAUUCCCGUGAAAAUGGGCCAUUUUAUGGAUAUUUUAUUUCUCCCUCUCUCUCUCUCUCUCCCCCCCUUCAGAGGCAGGAAGGUACCGAGUUCUACGCCGGGGAAGAGGAAAAGGGUAAGGUCGUCGCAUUCCUCCUCCUCCUACCUUCACAUCGGCUCCCCCCUCUUCCUUCAUCCAGAAAGACGGAAGAAAAUCGAGAGCCAGAGAGGGGGUGGGAGAGAGAGAGGGAGAGGAAGAGGGUGGGGAUGGUGAUACAGUCCUCAGGUGGGCUCUGAAGCCGGAGACGAGAGAAGGCGCUGAUAUGAAAAGAAUUCGAGUAGAGAAGGUUACCGUGGCAUUAUCCGCGGGGAGGAGGUGACCGGAGCUUUUCUGAAGGCGGCAGAAGAGCUCCUCCUCCAUGGGGUGGAAGUGGUGGCGGAGCUCCAGAGGGAAGGCUUGCAAGUAGGGAAAUAGCAUCCCACCCUCUGCGUGCAUAUCUCGGAGAAAAAUCCCCCCACGAGACGGCCACCCAACCGCAGAGCGAGAGCGCUGUCUAAGAAGGCGAAGCAGCCUCCACGACCGGAGCACCACUCUGCACCUCCCCCUCUUAUAUACUUGGAACGCAGGUCUCUUCUUGAGGUAGAGAGAGAGAGAGAGAGAGAGAGAGAGAGAGAGAGAGAGAGAGAGAGAGAGAGAGAGAGAGAGANNNNNNNNNNNNNNNNNNNNNNNNNNNNNNNNNNNNNNNNNNNNNNNNNNNNNNNNNNNNNNNNNNNNNNNNNNNNNNNNNNNNNNNNNNNNNNNNNNNNUUGCAAGUAAGGGGCAGCGAAAUAUCUCCAUAUACAUACCAGGUGUUACUGAUAUCGCUGAUAUGAGAGGCCCAUAUACACCUCUAUCCGGAAUGGAAUUUGUCCCUUUGCCAGACCACACGAAAUGGAUCUCCAAUGUGCCACCCUCUACAAAGGCAGUAAAAUUCCUAAUAACUUCUUUACCAGUUCCAUUGGCUGCUUCUACGAUGUUAAAGUCUCUUAACACCUUUUUUCCCUGUUUCAAUGAGGAGAGUUAUAUCACCUGGAUCCACUUACUACAAUGCACAUGUACUCACAAAACCAAUGAACCGAAAAGGGAUAACUGAAUACCAAUGAGCACAUUUGAAAAAGGAUAGAAAAUUUAUUUCUUGUUUUCGAGAAAUUAUAACAUGUAUCCAAGCUCUGAAGAGGAUGUUCAAUUACAACUGCAUGAAUGAACGAAGCUUGGAUAAGAAUCAGCACAUAUGACAUCAUAUCACUAAUGAAAAUGGAACAGUGGGAAAAAAUAAUCAGGAAUGAUUAUGUCGAAAUAAUCUAGAGGAGUAUAAAGGAUGUCUUUAGGAAAAGAUCAGUACUAAACUACACGUAUUCAUCAAUAUUGUAAGUCCAAGGAAUCCAAAUGACCUGAAUUGAUACAUCAAACACACGCCUUCCAAGACUGCCAAAUGUCGGGCCAGAGGUGAAAACUAUUUCAGCAAAGUGCAGCCGGACCGUAUAAUUUCCUGGUUGCAAGCAUAGACCAUAGUAUUUGAGAGAAAGAGGAUUCAAACGAGCAGUUUUGUACAAUUCUGCAUUGGGCAUUGUCAAUACUGAUGUAUUUUCUGUUACAAAUGGCGCGCUGUCACUUCCCCCAAUAAAGUUUCCUGUACUGCUAUAAGCCCACUUUCCACUGCUAGCAAGAUAAUAUUUUGAUGCGCCUUCCACUGACGCAUCAUGUUCAUAUUCGUUUCCAUCAACAGUCACACUUUCACCUCCACAAUUUAUGAAAAGGUUAUAGUCUGCAUAAAUUCCGAAAAGCCAAAUAAAAAAUUAAUCAAGAGAACGUCAUGUUCAUAAAUCAAGCUUUCAAGUCAUAAGGUUGCUUUCUUCCAACCCCCCAAAAGAAAAGUUCAACUGAAAAAGUAAAGAAGCUGUCCCGAAGAAAGGAGAUUUAUACUCACUUUUAGGUGUGCCAUCACAGGGGUGGUCCUUUCUUAAACACGACGCUAUCCUACGAAGGUUAAACGGAGAGAGUGAAUGAUUUAGACAAUUGAUCUACCCAUAAUGUAAACUUCAAAAAUGUCAGAAACCUACGAGUCAUUUGUUGUCGAAGAAAAGCUGGCAACAUAGUUCCUGCAAAUUAUAAGAGCCUUAUUUAAUUCCAGAAACAAGAAGCCAAUUCCAUACGUCCGACCGACAAACAGUCUGCUUACCGUGAGUCUUGCUCACAGUCAGGUGGUGCAGAUGAAAGAUUGGUGAAUGUAUUAUAAGAAAUAUCCCUGAACAUUUUCAACGAUCUAUCAAUGAUGAUUUACACGUUACCAAAAAAUUUAUUACGAUACGAAAUCUAAAAGAAAAAGCAAGGAACAUAACCGUACAGUUUCCGUGUCGUUCUCUUAGCCCAACCAGGUAUUGCUCCACUAAGUUUGUUGCUGGUAAGGAACCUGAUUAUGCAAAAUCAGCAUAAAGCAUCAUUAAAGUAUAACUCUUCUCAUUUUUCUACUGGCCUAUUAAGUUGAAUCAAAGAGAAAAUCGAACCCGCAGUCACUUACAUAUAUUCUAAGUUUUUCAGAUCCACAAAGUUCUCUGGUAUCUCGCCCGUGAAAUUAUUAAAGCUCAGAUCUCUGCCACAAAACACAAUAAAAAAUGUGACAAAUCGGAGAGCAAAAUAAUUGUUCUCCCUGAGACCACGCAAUAUAAUUUUCAAGGUACAAGUCUUCUUUUAAAGAUCAAAAUAAAAAAAGUAUAUUUCUUAUAAUCUGACAAUUAUCAGAGAGAGAAAAAUGGCUGCAUGAAGAUCACUGAUGUAGGAACAAGUGUGCNNNNNNNNNNNNNNNNNNNNNNNNNNNNNNNNNNNNNNNNNNNNNNNNNNNNNNNNNNNNNNNNNNNNNNNNNNNNNNNNNNNNNNNNNNNNNNNNNNNNUCUCUCUCUCUCGUUAGGGGCUUCUCCGAAAAUGAUCGAGCUGUUGCUAACCUCACCGCCACCGCCUCUCCCCCCUCCCUCUCACCUCUGAAGGACUUGCUCCAGUGCCUCCAUGGCCGGCGUAGCUCUCCAUCUCCGGUGAGUUCUCCGACGAAGAGGUCUGAUUUGAGAUUUUUCUAUUUCAGACAGUUAUCUUCUCUUUCAGGUUUUAAUCAAGGCCGUUCAUCUAGGGAGUUAUGACGGUGGUAAAGCAUCCACGUGAGCUAGCAGCGCCAGCUCAGACGAAGGCUGUUAUGCUCACUCUCUCUCCACCUCUCAUUAGACGCCCAUAUAAGGUGCACUUGUGUUCGAUGAAAUGUGCCCCAGAACUCAUUUUUUUGUUACGAUUUUUUGUUUUGAUCUCUGCCUCUUUUCUUUUCCUCUUCGAGAGAGUUCUUGAGGUUGUAGCAGGCUUAGCGGUGCCAACAACCUCCCUCUCACCUCUCUUUUGCCUCUGAUCCAGGACGAAUAUGAUUGACACAAAUGUGAUAUGCUAUAAAUGAGAUGAAUAACUAGUAAGCCACAUAAGUCACACACAUUCAGAUUCGAACCUUUAAAGCCGACUGCGUGACACUAAGAAGACCGUUCCGUUCCUUAGUCGAGGACUGGAGGAUCGUCUCAAAUCAUCGUAAUAAAUCAAAGCUCUAUGUUUCAAAAUCUCAAUCAAUCUCCAAACAAGGAAAACACAGCCCACACGGCUGAUCACGAGCCCACACGGCAAAUCACGAGCCCACACAGUUAGUCACAAGCCCACACGGCUAAACCCGAUGGCAGUGGAAUCACAAACGAGGAAAAAUGAGAUGAAAUCAAUGCACACAUUCACUAAAAGGGUUAAGAGUGGACCUUGGGCAUUUGAACGUCGAGAAGUUGAUGUCGAGGAUACUUUGGAGAAGAGCGGGCUCGUCGCGGGCUCACCGCCCCCUUGCGGGGCUCGGGGCAGCGCCCUGAAACCAAAUCCGGUGGAUGACAGGAGCAAGGCGCACAGUGCACGCAUGGUAGCCGACAAGGGUUGGAAGCUGUCGCGAAGGACGAAGAGUCCAGGUACAUUCGCUGCGUGCGGGAUGCUCCGGUCACAACAAGGCGGCAGUAGUCGUGCGGACGCCCACGGAGAGGAGUUCGCCGCAUGCGGAUGGCGACCCGGCGUGAACCGUCCCUUGGCGACGAACGCUUGACGCUGUCGCGGAGGACAUCUGCGGCUGCGGGGCGAGGAGUCGUGCGGACGCCACGGAGAGGAGCUCGUCGCAUGCGGACGGCGAUCCGGCGGAACCAUUUCUCGACGGCGGACGCUUGACGCUGUCGCGGAGGACGUCUGUGGCUGGGGGGCGAGAAAUCGUGUGGACGCCACGGAGAGGAGCACGUCGCAUGCAAACGACGAUCCGGCGGAGCUACUCCUCGACGGCAGAUGCCUGACGCUGACACGGAGGACGUUCGCGGGUGUGGAGAGUUCCGUCAUCCGUCGAGAUGGUUAGGUCUCACGGAUGCGCGCGGAAGGAAGCCCGCCGUGCACGAUCAGUGAACUGACGGGAGGCCGUCAGCACGAAGAGAAGUGCGCAAGAACUAAUGGAGGGCUUGUCCGGAGAAGGAAGGUUGACCUUGGAGCAGGGUGGGACCCGUGCGACGGCGGCAGCUACAGGCGGCGGCGGUUGCACAAAUCCCCUAGGGCACAUUCUUAGGAAAGAUAGCUUUCUUAAUCCCAAAAUCAGCCACCAGUUCAAGGAAUUCUUAAGCCUAUUUAUAGGCCUUGGAAUGAAAAAAAAAAGACUACAAUAAGAUCAAGCAAAAUGAACAAAAAUUAAGCCUAAUAAUAAAGGAAAUUCGGAUCCUUCAGUUGGGUCCAACGGCGACGACAUGAGAUGGCUGCAGAUGACAUGGCAUCCUCUGACGUUGUUGCCUCCACUGGUGGAGCUUGGGUACAUACUCCACCAGCCUCUCUCCCUCUCUCACCCCUCUUUGUCUCCUGCCUCUCUCUCUCUCUCUCCNNNNNNNNNNNNNNNNNNNNNNNNNNNNNNNNNNNNNNNNNNNNNNNNNNNNNNNNNNNNNNNNNNNNNNNNNNNNNNNNNNNNNNNNNNNNNNNNNNNNUUUUUGGAGCUCCACUCUGUCCCUUAUUUACUUUAAUAGCCAAGCUUUUGACCACUCCCUAUGGAUACUUUGACUGAGGAAUGUAGAACUUCAACCACCCUCAAGUGUUCAAUAGGAUUCUCAAUAUCUUCCAAGUGAUAGCUACUGAAAUAUAGAUUGCAAAUCUCGCAAUUCAAUUACAUGAAAAUUUUAAAUGCACUUGAGGAGUAUUGCUUCAGCCCAACUAGUUAGCCAUAAUCAUCCUAGCAUGAUCUGAAUGCAAGUAGUAUAUUAAUUUUUCAUCUCUCAAAUGUACUGUUAAUUACGAGCACCAUGUUGUACAAGUACAAUAUAUAGAAAAGAUGGAAAAACACAAAUUUUAAUCAGAAUUUUCUUGCAAUCUUAAAUGACAUCUAUUGCAAUCCCAAAUGGCAAAGCCAGUCAAAACAAAAAAUUGAUAUUGUUUCAAUUUAACUCAGGCGAUGACAAGUUAAUAAAAUUUAGAAGGGAAAACAUAGUCCCGAAACAUAAGAGAAAUAACUAUGACAAUUUAUUGGACGAUAGAUGCAGGCUUCAGUAUAGCUGAUGUUUCACAUGGCUUCUAAUUUACUUUAGAUUAUACCAUGGUUCAAUAAUAGAUCUGUGUUCAGGAGCAAAAAACAAGGGUGAGCCCUAAUGUCAAGCAUAUCCUUUCUUGAAAAGCUCGUGGAAAACAUCAACUCAGAUUGUAUUUACAAACUCAGGUUAAAAAAUGCAUUUUCUCAUCUUUAGUUCAAGCCUUUUUUUACCAAUAUUCAUCAACAAGUUUCGCUUACAUAAAAUGUAUAAAAAUAUCACAACAUUCUAGAUCAGGCACAUUAGCAACCCUCCUCCGCUUGUCGGUUCCGGAGGAAGGAAGGAAGGAAGAAAGUUUAGGGUGGGUUACCGAAGAGGGUUUGAUCGAAGCCAUUGUUCUCGAGGUACUCGUAGACGUGGAGCCGGCUCCCCUUGUCGAUGCAGAAGCCGAGGAGCUUCAAUAGGGUCCGAUGAUGGAGACCUCUGCCAGGAACUGCAUCCCUCGUCUUCUUCUUUGGCCCUCUUCCUCGUCUUCUUCUCUCGCCCUCUUCCUGUCUCUCCUCCCUCGUCUUCUUCUUUCGCCCUCUCCCUCUCUCUCCUCCCUCGUCUUCUUCUUUCGCCCUCUCCCUCUCUCUCCUCCCUCUUCUUCUUCGGAUUGAGCAACGGCUCUCUGUGCAGCGGGCGUGGGAAAGGGAAACAACGGAGGGAUCCGAAUCGGACCUAAAUGGGAAUGACAACGGAGGGAUCCGAAUCGGACCUAAAUGGGAAUGACAACAGCGGUAUCUUAUUUUAUAACCCGCUUCCUUUUUCAUUCUGAGAGAGAGAGAGAGACAGAGAGACAGAGACAGAGAGAGACAGGGAGAGACAGAGACAGAGACACAAAGAGAGACACAGAGAGAGAGAGAGAGAGAGAGAGAAGCGAGAGAGAGAGAGAGAGAGAGAGAAACAGACAGACAGACAGACAGACAGAGAUCAUCCGGAAACCCCCAGACAAUAACAACAAUUCUAUGAAAAGCUGUUGCUUAGACCCCUCCAUUGGUUCCUCUGUCUCCUCACUCUCGCUCUCUCUCUCUUUCUCUCUUUCUAUCUAUCGCUCUUGACGCACUCUUUCUCCUCUCUUUACUCUCGCUUCAAUCAUUUUUUAUCAUUAGUAUAUUAACUUAGAUUAUUUUUUUGGUUAUUGCAGUGUAGUUUAGUAUAACCACCAAGAUGAGCAAUCAAGAAUGAGGUUAGAGCUGGUUGACCACAGAAUAUCUAGUUUGCUCUCCCUCUCCUUUGGAUCUUUCCUUAUUUUUACUUUUCACUUAGUUUCUUGGAGAACAAAAAAGUUGUCGUGUAAGUUGGUACCUCUUUUGUGCAUCAAUCAAAACUAGCUACAUUUACUUUGUUUAUAUUAAUGGGAAUUCAAUUAUGUCAAUUUUAAAUUUGACAUAUAUGAAUCUAAUGGCUUAGAGAUGAUCAAAUAUAAACAAUGUUACCUUCACNNNNNNNNNNNNNNNNNNNNNNNNNNNNNNNNNNNNNNNNNNNNNNNNNNNNNNNNNNNNNNNNNNNNNNNNNNNNNNNNNNNNNNNNNNNNNNNNNNNNAGAGAGAGAGAGAGAGAGACUGUACCUUCAACUGGUUUUUAAACUGUUGCACCAGGAACCCCAUGUUCUCAUGGAUCUUACUGCCAUUCAGUAGUUGGAGGUUAGCGAAGAAACGGGAAAAUCAUUGCUUCCAGCGCUGAAAACGAACAAGGACUGAGAUAGGAAGAGAGAAGUUGCGGCAUAGCCCAGACGUGUCUUUAGGCUGUGAGUGAUCCCUUCGAAGUAAUCGAUCUGUUUAUUCAGAGAUAUGGCGAAGUUCCGGCCCUGAUAAAUUUAUAAGCCAGAGGGCGAGAGAAAGUGUGAGCUCUUCAUACUGUUGAAGGGAAAUAAAAGGAAGUGAUUUUAUGGUCAGGUUGAAGACGGCUGCCAUUGGAGACUCACCGUGGCCUCGAGGAUGCCCGAUCCACCAGACGCGAAGUUCACUCCAUGCAUCCGGGCGUUGCUAGUGAGGGAGAGGUACGCUGGUGGGCUCUUCUUUAGCCCCAGCUUCAUGGCUAAGGUAUAGAAAGAUGACUCAGUCCCCGGAUACCGAAUGCCCUAACUAAAUGUUCGUAUUUCCGGUGGGAAUUUGAACAAGAAAAUCAAAUGGGAGAGAUAGAGAAGGGGAAGAGUGUUGCACUUUAGAAAAAUGAGAGCAAAAUAUUUAAUUUACAAUAGUUUAUUCGUUAAUAGUAAAUAGGUCAUAAAUAAUAUCAAACGUCACAUCAAGUCUGUGAUUCAGUAAGCCCCAACGUAUUCAGCAGACGGCAGUUUUGGCUAGCGAUUCUCGUAAGAACCUGCGAUUCGUCAUUAUCUAAUGUGGGACUGGACCCAGAAGCCCCAAAUUGAGUUCGAUAGCAUAAAUCUGAGAAAAAAAUGAAUUGGGCUAGACCCUAAGUAAAAAAGUUACAAAGAAAAGGGCGUCGGGUUUGUGUAAUUCAUGUGAAGAGGUGGAGUUUUACGAACGAAUAUUCGUUCUUCUAAUAAGUUUUUCAAUAAAGAUGACAAAAUCGUGAUAAUUCGGGAAGCCCUACCCAAAAAGUCAGCAACGUUGUAGCCGUUGCUGAACCUGCCCGUCGGCUUGCCACCGGGGUAGUCGACCCCGUAGGGAGGGAAGUUGACCUUGCCCAGGUUCCCCGGCAAAUAGUUGUUGUUUCCCACGUCCACCGAGGAGUCUCCGAACACGUAGAUAGCUGGAGUACCGCCAUUCGCCGCCGUCUGCAAGAACAGGGUUGCCGAGAAAGCCGCGGCGAAGAGGAAAUGCCUUAUUCUCCCCAUCGGACCAUACAACCUUGCGUAUGCACACUCCACAUACUCAUUGAGACUUAUUUAUAGCCCGGAUCGAACGCGUAGUCUUAUGAACAACGGAGAGCUUUUCCUGAGCAGGUUGGCGUGAUAGCCAUCUAACUUUUCCGCGUAUCUUUUCACGAUUUGACCGGCAUUUUCUUCUCAAAAUGUUUCGCCGAAAAUAUUGACGAGUGGGAAAUUUUUCUCUCGCACAAGGCGACGUGCAGAACCCAGGUUCUUCCACAAAGGCAUCAUUUAUCCAGUAGAAAAACUAAAGUCAGACCCCAUGGGUCAACUGUGAGACAAAAUUCUCGGAAACCACAAGUAACCUUCCAACGGACAACGCCGUUCAGGAUGUCCACUUGCGAAAGAGUGAGUCGGAAGUCAUCUAUUUGACAGAAACCAACACCAAAUUCAACGGAGGAACGUGGGACCAAUUGGGUCUUCCAGCUAGCCGCGUCACGGAAUCAAAAGUUUUAUUUAUAAGCGCGAUGACCUUCGUUCGUUUAUACUACUUGAGACUUUAUCAUGUGGUCUUCGAACUAGAGUACGAUUUGUUACGGCAUAGAUACAGUGGAAGUCGUUCAUGAAUCUAUCUUCCUUGCUCAAUAAGUAUUCAAAGCCUUUGGCAAAAACGUGCAUGAUAGAUUUUACAUUCUUUCCUUGUUUCAAAGUUAACCAACUCGUCAAUGUGCUAGAAAACUCAGGCAACGAGACCCUGGCCUUCUCUCUCUCUCUCUCUCUCUCUCUCNNNNNNNNNNNNNNNNNNNNNNNNNNNNNNNNNNNNNNNNNNNNNNNNNNNNNNNNNNNNNNNNNNNNNNNNNNNNNNNNNNNNNNNNNNNNNNNNNNNNUACUACUAAUAUAUAUAUAUAUAUAUAUAUAUAUAUAUAUACACAUUACUGAACUUUUAGAGGCAAACAUGCUGGGUUCAAUUUUAUUGCGCCGUGAAUAGAUCAAAGCAUCGAGGCCCAAAAGAGUUUGUGAUUGUGACCCUAGUUAUGCCAGUAGAAGAGUUUGUGGCAACUUUUAUUGGGUGUUUGAAUUGAUUCUAUGCCUCACUUUGAUCCUAAUUUGGAGUUUUCACUAAUUAUUCCUAUGAUUUUUUUUAAUUUCCUUCGUGGUUUCUUGCAUUCUAUCAUUUUUUCUAAAUCAACUCUAGGGACACAAAAUUGUUCAUCGACAUUCAUCCACUAUUCAUGCCUACUUAUUAACUUCCAAUAAAAAACCAUCUAGCCAAAAGAAAAUAAUUAAAAGUCGCAAAACUCUUACAAUUUUUCUACUUUGAGACUCUUUACCAAAAACUGAUGGCGUCAAAAUGGAAUUAAGAUUAAGGCUAUUGAUGAAGCAGUCCAUUCGCAACAAGUUCCCAUAUUUACAGGGAUUUCUGGCAGAAUCCAUCCGAUAAAGAUUAGACUCAAAUGCGAUAUACAUGCAUUGGAAAUAUCAAACGAACGCUUAUGUGCGACCUGUGGCCCACGCCUCCUAUUAUUUGUUCAUGGCGGGCGGGGCGUGGACUCUGAUUCGAUCCGGGUAUUCAAUCCCGGCGCUGAGAUGCUCAGUUGACUUCCUAACCUUGAUAGGCAGCUGGCUUAUUCCAAAAUUAGUGCAUACGGAUAAGGAACGCUGGAUGAACUAAUGCGAAUGGGUGCAUGCCUCGCUGCUAGGGAAACACCCAGCGCUGACCACACCGAGAGAGACAGAUGGCCAUGGGAAGGAACAGCGGCGGACAAGCGACCGAACUAGGGAGCCUAAACGGCGUUGAGACUUUAGGACUCGAGUGCGUAACAGGGCUCUAAGAUCUCCGACCGGGUUUGAAAGUUAAUAAGCAGUUUGAUCUGUUUCCUUCAAUGGUAGCGAAUCACCAUCCGCGGGGGUUUUUUGAUAUGGGAGGAACCCAGUCUGCAGUAACUCCCAUGAAAAUUUUGGAGGCCCAUUGCUGCUGAUAAGUAUCAAUUAACUCUCUUAAGAAGAACAAGAACUUUAUUAUCGGUGUUUGCUUGAUCUGAAUAGUAUUGACUUGGAGUGAAUCUGUAAAUUCAAUGAAGAUCAUGAUGCAUUGUAACUCGAUUUUGUUUAUCCCUUAAGGUUGUGAAUGUGUCUGAUUGAUGAAGAUUUUAUCACUUGAAUUGGUGAAGAUUAAUUCACCUUAAUUUCUCUUUAUUAAAUCUUGGAAAUAAUCUGAAGAUGGUGGGGGUGAAAGGUGAUUGUACAAGUCUUAUUAGUCGUUGGACAUGUACUGAACUCAUAAAAGGUUGGAUAUAAACCACCUUUAUUUUCAAUGCUCUCAAGAUUCAGUGCUUGAAAUUAGAAUGAAAGUUUAAUGGAAGUAACCCAUGCACCAUAAAUAUCCACAACUAAUCAGCUCAAAUUGGCCUAAUAUGUAUCCAUCAUCCUAAAAACAAAGCCUAAUGAGACGUCAAAAUAACCUAAUGUUUUUGCAUUCAGAAUGUAUCUAAUUCACCUCAAAUAAAAAGACGUGUAAAACUGACAUGAAAUUAUGAUACUAGUAUGAGCAUUAAUUUUUUUAAUGAGUUAUAAUUAUAUACAAUUUAUUUCCUAAAUUUAAUUUUUCAAUAGAAAUAUUUAAUAAAAUUAUAUGAAAUCAAUAAAUUUUGAUAUCAAGAAUGAUCAGAAGUAAUAAUUUAAUAUUAUUAACAUCUAGAGUAUUGGGAAAGCUUUAACGAUCAUAUUUUCACUUAAGAAAAUAAAUUAUUUCUAUAGGCUAAUCUAUACUAUCUAUCAAUGGUAGUUCACGUAAGUACUAGUGAUGCACCAUAAUUGCAGUAAGCUAAGAUGUUAAAUUAAUAUUUUAAUAUUCUGAUUCCAUAAGAAUUAGUUAUUACUAGUCAUGGCUUUUAGGUCAAUCCNNNNNNNNNNNNNNNNNNNNNNNNNNNNNNNNNNNNNNNNNNNNNNNNNNNNNNNNNNNNNNNNNNNNNNNNNNNNNNNNNNNNNNNNNNNNNNNNNNNNCUCUCUCUCUCUCUCUCUCUCUCUCUCUCUCUCUCUCUCACACACACACACACACACACACAGAGGGAGGUUGAUCAAUUCACUCCGUUUCGCUUCCCUCCGUGGAGAUUCGAUGAGUCGGGCUUGGCUGGCAGGAGAGGGCAUAUGCGCAGACGGAGGAAACAAAUACUGGGCUCGUUCCAGAUUUCUUCUGGCAACUGGUGGCCCGAAUCGGCAGAUUGCUCCGUUUUCUUACCUUUUGUAGGAAGAAUAGAGGAACGGUUGAAAACCCAAGACGGGCAUUUCACUCAAUAAAAUAGUAGUAGAGAGAUUUAUCACUAUCCUCGGCUUAUUCACGAUAAAUAAAACCAAAGUUAAAAUGUCUCCCUCGAAGGAUAUUCCGCAUGAAGCAGACCCGGGGCUCCGACGGCCAAUGCCACGUCCCCGUCACCUUCCUUGGCCGAGGGGUCCGCCGUCGUCGGCCGCCGUCAAGGCCGCAGCUCCGCCGGGGACGUGGACGGCGACCCAUUCACACCAUUAAAUACUUAAAUGUUCAAGAGAAGUGCGACCGUUGCUCGUGCUAGAAUCUGUCAUGACUUUCAAAGCUACUCCCUUUGAAUUUCUUCCAUCCCCAUCUCUCUCUCUCUCUCUCUCUGUCGUUUUCAUGUCGAUGUGUAUUCCAUGAAACUAUGCUUUCAUGCUUGGUCGCAGGUGCAAAUGGGGAACGCCGCGAAUGCAACGACUGCUCUCUCUCUCUCUCUCUCUCUCCCUCGCUCUCUCUCUCUCAAGGACCGUCCCCCGUGUGGUUGGAUAAGGUUUGGCAGCGGGCGGCGAGUUGCUUCCGACCUCGCCUCCGGGUCCUCGUGGCACGUGGCGUGUCUCUCUCACACGGGUGCGACUCCUUCCAGAUGCCCGCCCCGACCGAAUCACCAAUAAAAGGGUUUCCUUUUGUCCGGGGGCCCCCGCCCGGCUCUCUCAGGCAUUCCCUCGAACAUGUGGCCGUCCCCAACUUGGCUGAAGUGAAGCUGGCGUCGCUUGUGAGUUGCGACGCGCUUUAAUAUUAUCCAACCACCUCUUCAUCUGCCUCCCUCUCUGAUAUGACAGUUAGCCGCCAAAUUCAU
RNAcentral lists this long non-coding RNA (70040 nucleotides) under Spirodela polyrhiza (greater duckweed). Its description in RNAcentral is "long non-coding RNA (SPOL_LNC000246)". Lineage: Eukaryota; Viridiplantae; Streptophyta; Magnoliopsida; Alismatales; Araceae. The record is from RNAcentral.